GUUCCAGGCCCUGACAACAUGGAGCACCUGAAGAGGAUUGCUGAGGAGAUGCAGAAGCAGGUGGCUGCUGCGGGCGCCAUCCAGCCCAAGGAGGAGAACGACGACGACGUUCCGGAGCUCGUUCCUGGAGAGACCUUUGAGGAGGUAGCCCAGGAGACAAAAGCCUGAUCAUCUCAUAGACUCCGCCCCGCCAAUAGCGAAGCAUUACUUGACCCGAACUGCUACGUGGUCAUGGUUUUCUAUGACGGCCCUGUUUUGCUCCCUCUCCUAGGCCUUCUGUAUUUGCUGCAGUUGGAAACUUUUAGUUUCUCCCACCGAGUUUUUAUCCGAGUUAUGAAUGCUGAGUUGCCCGUGGAUUCCUUUUUAGCUGCUUUUUGAUGAUGAUUGCGUACCAUUUUUUUGGUUGAUUGGUUCACAAUAUACCUGAGCUCCAGCCUUUGGUGAGUUUUGCUCAAGUGUGUGGUACUCCUCCUUGACAUUAGGCAUGCUCAGAUUGCUUUCAGAUUCUCCUUAGCUUGAUAUCAAAGAUGUUCCUACUGUAUAGGAUCUGAUUGUCAUGAUGCCAAUGUAUUCCUCUUAUCUGCUUUUGAUGAUGACACCCCGCUGGUUGGUUCACUCGCAAUCUAGUCGACAAUACUGAAACUUGGCCUAGCUCAGCAAAGCCUGAAAUUAGGAUGCAUGUAGCAGCAUUUCGAAGUCUUUUAUUAUUAUUGAUUAAAAGUUGCAUUACCAUGUCUGUAUUUGUUCUACUGAAACCUACAUUCUGAUCUGAUCAAUGUAGGGGCAUAAACCUACAUUCUGAUCUGAUCAAUGUAGGCGCAUUCUGGUUGCUUGUUUGCACAUAGAAGUUUGCCUCAAAAUAUGGGAGUCAGAUUUUGACUGAUCAUUCUAUCUUGCGCUCUCUUGGCCACCGUCCCUAUAUAUUUCUUCCUGGCCCCUCAAUCCCUUGGUUACCAAGCGAGAGGGCAAGCAUGAUCUUGAAUUCUUGACGAACUCUGAAAAUCUAGGUCGUUGCUCAUUCUGGUAAUGUAUAUUGUAAUGUCUACCGUACGCCCUACCCUGGGGAUUGUACAACUUAGGAACUCAUCCCUCAGAUUGAGUCACUAGUGUUAACACUGAGCUUCAAGAUCUGUUUCAGCAAUCACUAGACUACACCUACAAACCUACUCAUUACAGCUGACGGCACACACUAUUUUCACCUUGCCAACAUGCAUGUGCUGAUGAAAUAACCUCUCUGUAUAUGUUACUUCUUGGGCUAAUGGUUUGGUUGUCACUUUCACCAAUAGCAUACCCACUGGGCUCUAUUUCAUGACCACUGGCCCUCUGCAUCCGUCUCCACGUCCAACUGAGCCAAAGGAUGUAUUGAAAGCUUCCUCAUUGGCGACCUCUUUCAUGGAAGGCCGUCGCACAUAUCUAGGCAUUUCUUAGCCAGGUCCGCAAUUCCUCUCAACAAUGCCAUGCUUUCAUGGCCUUUCACGUGAUUGUUCUCUUUUGUAGCGGAUAGGAUAGGAAAAUAAUCCUUUUGUCAGUUAACUUGCAUGUAUUCAGGAUCAAGAUAUCCACAAGUACCCUGAACCAUAGAGACAAACUGCUCUUUGUCAGUUGGGGCUAGUAUGGAGGCUCCAUGUAGUUAUCAUCAAGAAGGAUGUUGGAAGUUUUCACACUGCCAUGAAUAAUUGUGGGAGAUGCAUAGGAAUGCAGGAAUCUGAGUCUGUUCGUUUGCUUUCAUGACCAAUUCUUAAGAGGGUCCUGAAGGAGAUUUGCAGCGCUUGGUUCUUGACAUGAUGAAUAAGCUCAAAUAGGAUGAUUCCACUUUGAACGAACUCAUAUCAUAUACUCCCUCCGUCCGGAAAUACUUGUCGGAGAAAUGGAUGUAUCUAGACGCAUUUUAGUUCUAGAUACAUCCAUUUUUUACCCUUAUCCAUUUCUUCGACAAGUAUUUCCGGACGGAGUGAGUACUAGAAUUAGGAACUUCCACCUCAAGGCAGCAACCCAACAAUAUUCUUGUGAUUGAAUUGGGACAAAAUGAGCAUCUCUCGACAACUAAUCCACAUCUUUUAAUUGCAAAACAUGCAUGUUACUAUGUGUUAUCCCUUUAUAGACNNNNNNNNNNNNNNNNNNNNNNNNNNNNNNNNNNNNNNNNNNNNNNNNNNNNNNNNNNNNNNNNNNNNNNNNNNNNNNNNNNNNNNNNNNNNNNNNNNNNNNNNNNNNNNNNNNNNNNNNNNNNNNNNNNNNNNNNNNNNNNNNNNNNNNNNNNNNNNNNNNNNNNNNNNNNNNNNNNNNNNNNNNNNNNNNNNNNNNNNNNNNNNNNNNNNNNNNNNNNNNNNNNNNNNNNNNNNNNNNNNNNNNNNNNNNNNNNNNNNNNNNNNNNNNNNNNGUCAAAGUUGUUGGUUGCAUGUAUGAGUUCAACUUCUGAAAAUACACUGAAAGAAAAGACCUUUCUCUAGUUUCAUCCUAUCAAACAAAAGCACGCCUCCGUGUUGACGAAAAUACUCCUUCUUAACUUUGUUCAAUCUUGUCUUUUGGACUAUCAUUUGUCCCCAUAUUAGAAUGAUCAUGACUAUAACCAUUACACCAAACAAUCCCAUUGUAAUUCCUAUUCGAGGGUUUAAUGGUGACGACUACGGCUCCAGGGCGUUGGUCCUUCCGGCCACCUGCACGAAGACUUUUCGGUUGUCAUCGACAAGGUCAAACUGACUUCGGUAGGGGAGCAGCGACAGCGGCAUGUCGACGAUUCGUUCUAGCGACAGCAGUGGUUGUUCGAUGGUCCGAAAACCUCGAUGUAAUUUUUGUUAUGUUUGAGGUGCUUUGUAGUUUUGAUGAACUUUUAUAAUAUAUAUCUAAAUCUUUAAGAAAAAUAAACUUUGUGAUUGCCAUUGGUUUCGCUUUGCCUCAACGGUAUCUAGAGUUUCUAGUUUUCUAUUUUAGGAGGAGCUGUAUUUAUACACCUAUGUUUUGUGGCCAUAUUUCGUCAUUUCGAAGUUUCGUGCCUAAAUCGAGCACUAAACAGACUCAUAUGAUCACCUCUCAAGCCUCCAAUCAGGAGCGACACGGGAGCCGAUAGGAACAACCGUUUUAGUGCUAUGGCAUCGAUGGACAUCGACGGCAGAAUGUGUGUCAUUAAGCAUCUUCAAGGGCAAAUGUCAAAUUUUAGCUCCCGUAUGUCCGCAGACAUAUGUCUGGAUAACGAUGCAUUGAGCCUUAAAGAGGGCGAGUGACAAAUUUUAUCCCUCAUAUGUUUGCGGACUUGUCUAUGGAUAGCAAAGAUUUGUGCAACAUUUCAAAUUGUUCAGCUGCAUGCAUAUGAUUGGGUGGAGGGGUACGGGUCAGGAUUUUCGAUAUGGGUAUGUCGAGUGUUCUUAAUUAUUAUUUUUUGCGCAAAGAUGUAAGACAUAAAAAGUUCAAGGCAAAACUACGAAUUGUUUUUUGUAGCAAUAUCUCCAAUAAUUUAGCUACAUAGAAAGAACAGGGAGAAUUAUAAUAUAACUCUAUGAUCACCCCUUUUGAAAGAGAAAUGUACUUGCACGAAUAUUAUUCUUUUUGUGGGGUUACAUGCACGAAUAAAUUAGCCUAGCUAAAAAAAUUAACCAAGCAAUUAUUUACCUAUUGUUCUCCAAAUCAAAUACUCCCUCCGUUCCAAAAUAAGCAUCUUAACCUUAAUAAAAAAAAGUUAGUAUAAAGUUGAGACACUUAUUUUGGGACGGAGGGAGUACAAAGUAAGGAAUGAAAAUAAUAAUCUGUUAUCACUGAUCACAAACAAACGAUGCGCGGAACUGUUGGCAACUUGCCUCCCAGAUGAGCCAUGGCAGAUGCGCCAUGUCAUUAACACACGGACACGCCUCGUAUCCAGCCGCCGCCUCCAACGUAGCCAGCCGCCGCCUCCCCAAAACUAGGGUUCUUUGCCUCCCACCGGCGCCGGUGCCGGUCCGUCCCGUCUCCGGUGGCCUUAGGGCCAUGGAGGCGGAGUGGAUCUCGGCCCUUGCCGGUGGGAGGGUUCCGCUUUCAUAUUUUUUUUCGAGCUUUGUUAGGGUUUAUGUCCUGUUCAGGAAGGCGAGACGGCGGCGUCUUUCUGAAGAUGGAAUAAAGGUCUACCCGUCUAGUCCCCGUUCCGGUGAUGUGUGUAGCAUCAUCGGUGGGCGUGUGGAGGUGUGUCUCCGGCGGAUCUGUCUUUGGUGGAUUUGCUCAGAUCUGUUCGUCGUUCGUCUUCGUUCGUGUGUCUUCAGGUUGGAUCCUUUUGAUCUACACUCUUCAUCUGCGGCGGUUGCUGUUCUGGUGCGUUGGUUCCAUGGGGCCUUAGCACGACGACUUCCCGACUGUCUACUACAACAAUGUUUGCCCGGCUCUGUCGAGGGAGGGGCGAUGACAGCGGCGCGCCUUCGGCUCGCUUCAGUGCUUAUAGUCGUCGCUAGGUGGUCUACGGUUCUGGAUGUAAUUUUUAUUAUUCCUAGUGUCCGUUGUACUACCAUGAUUGAAGAUGAAUAGAUUGAAAGUUUUUUCAAAAAAAAAAAGAUGCGCCAUGUCAUUGCCGAGUGCUUACUGCUGAGAAUGAUGUAGUGGUUGCUUCCGAUGAUGAUGCGGGCAUGCGCGACGCGAGUACUAUAUCUCGCUUACAGCGAGAAUAUCAUUCGCCUCGCCUGAAUGGUCCGCGCAUAAGGGUGGGCCCGUUAGCGCGAUUGCUGAGUCGCUUGUUCUACGUACUGGUUUCAUCCAUCUUUAUCUCUUUCAUUUAUUUAAUAUUUCUUUGAUUUUUCUUUUUUCCUUCACCAGUUUUAUGUUUUUUCCUCGUUUUCUUCAUUUCUUUUACUACACAUUUUCACUUCUCUUUCUUUCUUUUUCUUUUUUUUUAAUUUUCUGUUUUACUUUGUUUCUUUGUGUUUCUUUUUUAGCUUUAUACAUUUUUCAAACACAUGAUUAAUAUUUUUGACAACUUAUAUUUUAUAAUGUCUAUUUUUCCAUACNNNNNNNNNNNNNNNNNNNNNNNNNNNNNNNNNNNNNNNNNNNNNNNNNNNNNNNNNNNNNNNNNNNNNNNNNNNNNNNNNNNNNNNNNNNNNNNNNNNNNNNNNNNNNNNNNNNNNNNNNNNNNNNNNNNNNNNNNNNNNNNNNNNNNNNNNNNNNNNNNNNNNNNNNNNNNNNNNNNNNNNNNUUUCCAUACACACUGUACAUUUUUUGUAUACACCAAGAAAAUUAUUUAUAUGCAUGUUUAUCAUUUUCAAAAUACAAGAUUAAUAUUUUCUUAAACAUAUAUGUUUAUGUCUACUUUUUCCAUAAACACUGUACAUCUCUUCUACACAUCAGAAAUAUUUUUUCAAAGGCAUGAUUAACAUUUUCAAACAAAUAUAUUUUUUAUGUCUAUUUUUCCCAUACAAAUUGUACAUAUUUUGUAUACACCGUGAACACUUUUUAUAUAGAUGAUUAAUAUUGUCCAAAUACAUUUUAAAAACUUUUUUAUACAUGUUUUAUGUUUUAUAUUUUUUGAUGGCUACAAUUCUCAUACAGAUUGUAUAUUUUGUAUACAUAUUCAUAUACAUUGGAAACAUUUUUCAAUACAGAUCUAACAUUUUUUAAAUGCACGAUUCACAUUUUAGAAAAAAAUAAAUCUUAUAUUUUUAAUCCUAAUUGUUUUUUCAUACACAUUGUGCAUUUUCUGUAUAACUAGGUUGCCAUAUAACUAUUAAAGAAGUCUCGUUGUCGUAUGCUAUAUAAAGGCAUAUUGGAGCNNNNNNNNNNNNNNNNNNNNNNNNNNNNNNNNNNNNNNNNNNNNNNNNNNNNNNNNNNNNNNNNNNNNNNNNNNNNNNNNNNNNNNNNNNNNNNNNNNNNNNNNNNNNNNNNNNNNNNNNNNNNNNNNNNNNNNNNNNNNNNNNNNNNNNNNNNNNNNNNNNNNNNNNNNNNNNNNNNNNNNNNNNNNNNNNNNNNNNNNNNNNNNNNNNNNNNNNNNNNNNNNNNNNNNNNNNNNNNNNNNNNNNNNNNNNNNNNNNNNNNNNNNNNNNNNNNNNNNNNNNNNNNNNNNNNNNNNNNNNNNNNNNNNNNNNNNNNNNNNNNNNNNNNNNNNNNNNNNNNNNNNNNNNNNNNNNNNNNNNNNNNNNNNNNNNNNNNNNNNNNNNNNNNNNNNNNNNNNNNNNNNNNNNNNNNNNNNNNNNNNNNNNNNNNNNNNNNNNCGUUUCUCCUUCCGGGAAGUUUGAACUGCCCGGACAUAUAGGGCAGGUUUGAAGAGAUCUGUGCACAAUGUUUUUUUUGGGGCGGGGGAGGGGGGGGGUCUGAGCUGUGUCUGGAUAGUCCGCUUGGACAUACCAAGAGGUUUGAGGAGUGUCUUUAGACAUGGUCUAUUAUCUUUUACAAUGGAGAUGUUCUAAUAGCUAGUUCCUGGCAUUUGUAUUUACUAGCAAAAGGGCCUGCUGUGUGUAGCAGUUGAAGAAAAAAAAUCAUAAUCUUCAAUGGCUAUGACCACAUUUUGCAGAAUCACUGAGAUACGCUAUCACUCUCUUUCUCAUUGCCUAUGCCAGCUCAGUGGGACGAUUCCCAAACGUAUUUUUCCAGCCGCUACCGUGUGAGCUGGACCAGGCGGGGGGAUUCCCUAGUCUAAAACUUAUUUUUUUUUCAACCGCUGCUGCGUGGGGGUUACCUAUAUGGCUCGUAGCGACCUAGCAUGUACCCCCUCCUACUUUCAAUCCUGCUUUUGGCAGGCCCAUUCUUGGAUUUCUUCCUCAUCGGUUUUGGCAAGGUUCUAAACCUUCCCAAAACCCGCUUUUUCGUUUUUUCUUCUUUUUCGUCUUCCUUUUCUGUUUUUUCUUUUUCUUUCUUUUCUUUUUUCUAAACAUCUCUUUUCAAAAUUUUGAAUAUUUUCGUGAAAUCAUGAAUGAUUUUUGAAAAUCUUAAAAAAAUAAAGCUCUUGAACAUAUUUGAAAUUGUGAACUUUUUUUAUGAAUUUGUUAACAGUUUUUAAAAUAAUGAACAUUUUUUGAAUUCAUCAAUAUUUUAUACUAUUUGCAAACAUUUUUCUUAAAACUGUUAACAUUUUUAAAAAAUAUUUUUUAUGAAUCAGUGAUAAUUCUUUUAAUUGGUGGAACAAUUUUGAAAUUCAUGAAGAUUUUUUCUGAUUUAACAAAUAUUUUAUGAAAAGCAUGAUAUUUUUUUGAAUUGGUGAAUAUUUUCCAAAUCAGUAAACUAUUUGUAAUUCACGGCCAAUUUUGAAAUUUUAGGAAAAAUUUCAAAAUUUGUGAUUUUUUCAAUUGUCGAAUAUUUUUUAAAAUUUCAAUAAAAAUAUUAACUGUUUUCUAAAAUUAUGAGCAUUUCUUAUUUACUAGGCAUUAUUUUUCAAAACUGUUAUUAUUUUGAAUGCGCAAACAUUUUAUGAUUUAUUGAGUACUUAAUCUAAAAAUUCUCAUCUUUUUAAAAUUUCUUAACUUUUUGAAGUCCCAAUUUAUUUGAAGUAGGGAAAAACAAAAACGCAAAAGAAAAUGAAAAAACUAAAAGAAAAAACCAAAAGAGAAAACCAAAUUAAAAAAAUAGACGGCUAUUUCGGAACUUUUUUUAAGUCCCAAUUUCGGAACUUUGGGGGCAAUUUCGUGAUCGAUGGGCAGAAGCACUAAUCCUUUAUUUGUAGAUAUAUAGAUUUAGUUUUUGUCCGUUGAGUUUUUUUUGGGCAGGCCAUCUCCUAACCUCUCUCUGUUUUUUUUACUCCGCGUAUUAGUUUUGGUCGAAGUCAAGCUUUGUAAACUUUGACAAAAUUUAGAGACAAAAAUAUUAACAUAUACAAUAACAAAUCAAUACCAUCCGAUUCAUUAUUGAAUUUACUUUCACAUCAUAUGGAUAUGUUAUGAUAAUGUUUAUAUUAUUUUCUCUAAACUUGGUCAAACUUUGCAAAGUUUGACUUCGCUCAAAUCUAAUAUGCAGGCUAAAUAGAAACGGAGGGAGCACAUAUUUUAAAAGUUGUCUUAUGGUGAAAAUAAAAGAAAAAAAUAUAAAUCCUCUCUAUACGUAGUCACUUACAACAAACUGCAAUUUCCGAGCUCCAAGUGUGACACAUGAAUUAUCUAAACCGGAUGCAUAAUGUACUGUUUUUGCAGUGAAAAUUCUAGCUUCAAAUCAACUUGCUGAACUGGAUCGGCAUCAAAAGGCUCGUCCCACAUGGCAUUCGGCAUCAUGGCAUUUUGCCGAUCACCUUGUGAUGAAAGCAGUGAAAUCAUCUAGGCGCGGACGGCAUCCCCGAGCACCCUGGCCCCUCGCCUCACGGCCAUGCCUUUGUCGGAGAGCAUGGCCUCCUCGAUCACUUCCUGGAUGGCCUUCGCCGUGCUUCUCCCAUGGACGCACGAGGAUGCCGGCCUUGAGGUAGUUGCAGACCAGCUCGGGCGUCCCACGGCUGGUCGCAGUGCAUGGGCCAGGCGAGAAUCGGCCGGCCGUGGCUCAGGCUCUCCAUGGUCGAGUUCCAGCCGCAGUGGCUCAUGAACGCCGCCGUCGCGCUGUGCGCUAGGAUCUCCAUCUGCGGUGCCCACCCGGUGAUCACCAGCCCCGUCCCUCGGGUGUGCCUGGUGAACUCCGACAGCGUCUUCUCGUGCGCCGGCCUCCGCGUAUAUGUCGCCGCGGUCGGCGUCGCGCAGCAUCCAGAUGAAGCGUUGUCUGCUGCCGCGAGCUCCUCGAUCUGCUCCGCUCGCAGAGACGGCGUGGUGCCGAAGGACACGUAGAGCACGGACGCCGGGGGCUGCUCGUCGAGCCAGUUCACGCACUCGUAGAGCACGUACAACGUCGAUGGAGUCACCCUCGAGAGCGCGGCACGUGUUUGCCAGGACGCCGGCGCCAGGCGAGAUCUGUUUGGACGGCCUGGCCCGGCCGGCGAACUGCGCGAACUCCUUGGUCGCGCAGUGCUCGACGGCGCGGAAGGCCAGGCCAGUCUCACGCGGCAGCCGGUGGCCGGCGUCCAUUCUUCCGACGAGCAUCGGGAGGGCCAGGCAGUGCAGCCCGAACGCCUCGGUGUUGGGCAGCCGCGCCGCGAGCCAGGUCGCGCAUCGGCAGUUGCAGCAUCUAGUUGAGGUGGCCCUGCGCCGGGAACGGCACCGCCACGACGGCCACAGAAUCCAUCACCGCUCUGCGCUGCUGAGUGGCCUUCCGAUGAGGCUGGCUAUGGCAGGUUAUAUGAAGCAGGCGGCGGUGAACAAACCACAAGCCAACGCAGACGCAGGGGAGCAGGUCAGAGCGGGCCAUUUAUUUAUUUUUCUCAUGAUUUUUUUUUGAGAAAAUAUUUUCUCAUGAUAGUUAGGGCCAUCUACAAUCACCGGACCCCACAUGUCGGCCCCAAACGUCCGGCUGGGCUACCUGGUCAUUGCCCGCACACACAUUUAGCACCCAACCGGACACCCCACAUCUGGCCCAUAUGCCUCGGCCUGACCGGCACUUCCAAUACCCGACCUAUAUCUGGGACGAAUAUGGGACGCCCGGACAUGGGAGCCAUGUCGAACUGACCGCAAGGGCCCAUGCGGGUACACAAAGUGAUUGUUGGUCCAACGGGCGCCCCCUUUGCUCCGCGCCGCAUGACGCAGCUCUGGCGUGUCGCCCGUGGGAGCAAGUCCGUCUUAAGCCGAACAGUGGAAGCCGAACCCUAGCCGUCCCUAUUCCUUCCAUCUGAUCCUACCUGUGCCGCCAGCUUUCAUCUGCUCUUUGCCGUAGCCGCGAUACGGGCACGCGCUGCUCUUGUUGCAGCUGGUCUGCCUCCAAAUUCGCCGAAGCAGGAGGAGGAAGAGGAGGAGGAGGCAACAGCAACUGGAGGCGGAGCAGGAUCCCCAGUCCAUGGACGUGGCGGAUCCGAAGGAGGAGGACGUGGCGGAUCCGAAGGAGGAAGCAGAACCGGUUGCUUCCUUCGCCAUGGAGGACACCACGAUGAAGUUUGAGGUUGGCCACGCGGAGGAGAUAGGAAAGCAAACCGCCAUCCUUAAGUCCACGCAGGACAAGGCCUAUGUGAAGGCCAAUUGGCGCUUAAUUCGCAGCAGGGGUGGAGAUGGACAAGCUCUUCACCUCUAGUUUGUCCGACGACCAGCCAGGACUACCACAGUUGCUUAAUUAUCUAUCCGGAGCCGGGCAUGGAGAUCGUGAUCAUCUCCGACGAUGAGUAAGUAAUACUCCUACUGGGUUUUUAAUCUGCAUGGUUUGUAUGAAUUUAAGGUAUGAAGUUCAAAGCACAUGAAUGCAGCGGACGAUUUUUAUGUGUUUUCCAGUCACUGUCUGUCCGCACACAUGCCAGGCCGCGUCCACGGGUGUUUAGGGGCGGAUUUUUGAUAGUUGUAGAUGCGCACCAAGUCCAUCUCCGAGGAAAUGCUUAUCGUCAUGACCCGAUAUUUCUGGAGACUAAACAACAACAUCCGUAGUGCAAAAGUAUGUUAAUAAUGAAAUCGAAACUCAUUGAGCCUCUAUCAAAUUGCUUUUGCAUACUCUAGCCAGCUCCGGGACAUUACUACCGCCUACUGUAGACAUCAUCCUUGGUUCCUUGGAAGGAAGAAAAAAAGAAGGAAGAAGAAGAAGGAAAGGGAGAGAGACUCUCAUGUGACGUCUAAUUCGUUUGAGCAGUCAAGUUUGACGGCUCAAUUAGCGACGCACCUUUUUCUUUUGGUUCUCAAAUUUGAGGAAUUAAUAAGGUUUGAGGAGGCAUUAUGAGAGUUAAAAUUUAUGAGUUUGGUUAGAGAUGCCCUUAGAAGAGGCAACUCUCCUCGUUAAAAUAAAUAAAUAAAAUUGGUGGUAAAUAAAAAAACUCCUAUGUAGGAGGUUUUGUGUGUCAGUUUGCCGUUUAAUCGCACAAGCACCCUUUGAAUGGGCUGACCCAUCAAAACGGUAGACAGCGGGCAUUUUUUUCUCUAGGAGUUUAUUUUGGCUUUCAGUUGGUUUCCCGCCUGAUUUUCUUGUUUUAAAAGUUCGUGAAUUUUUUCGAAAAAAUGAAAUUAUUUUUUGAACUUUGCAUUUUAAAAAUCCAAAGAUCUUGAGAAAUUUGAAACUUUUUUGAAUGCAAACAUUCUUUCAAAUUUUUUAUAUUUUAAAAAAUGCAAACCUUUUUGAAAUUGUGUUUUUAAUUGAAUAUUUUUUUAAAGAAAAGUUUUUUUCUAAUUUUGACCUUUAUUUAAAAACCAUUAGCGGGCUAUGCUAAAUAGCGACGUUCCUCCAAAUCAGGUAUAACUCCGCUAUAGCAGGCUCUUUUAGAACUUUUUCCGACAAUUGUACAUGAAUUCCAUAGCGGGUUGUUUAGUGGCACUCUGCUCAAACUGCUAUAGUAGAGCUAUAGUUGUUUAUUUAAAACUCUGUUAAAAACUUAAACAUUUUUAAAAAUUAUGAACCAUUUUUUAGUUUUCUUAAUUCCGAGCAAAAUUUGAAUUCCAAUGAAUUUUAAACUUUGAACAUUUUUGGAAUUUCAAUAUAUCACGAUCCCAAGACUGAAAAUCCACAUGCACCUGCCAUCUUGGCCUUCUCACAAGUUGUCUUCACAAUUUCCACAACAGUUUCUUCACUGAGCCAUCGAGCUUCAAUUGUUUGACACGGUCCUCCGGACAACUAAACAUAUUUAAAUUCUCUACAUUUUGUGAGCAUUGCAAGUUCAAUAACCAUAUGAACUUCAGUUGCGUAUUUCAUCCUCACCCAAUUGUAGUGACAUAUACAAUCAUGAUGAUUAUCUCUUUGAUUAUGUUGAAUCGAUUGAGGAGUUAUUCUUUAGAAUCUCUCAACGUAUGACAAGGGUGUAGGAGGUUGCUCCAUAUUAGCAGAAGUCUCUAAACUUAUGAGCUUGCUAGAGAGCAUCUAUGACUAUUGCACCACUAACAAUUUUCAUAAAAGUCUUUCACUCAUGGAAUCCUAUAUACCUAACUAGUUCAUCCUCACUACCUCUAUUUUCUUAACAUGGACACAUGCCACUUCAUCAAAGGUCCACCAUAACAUGCAGGAGAAACAGUUAUCCAUUAUUAGUUGAUCUCAUGCACACAUCUCACCUCACCAAAGGUCCACUCAACAUGCAAAGAAAAAAGUUUUCCCUUAUAUUAUACCACUUAUAUUCAAAUUAUUUUUGACUAUUCAAUAAUCAAACACAAAAUACACCACUUAUAUUCAAAAUAUUUUUUGACUAUACAAUAACAAAAUACAAAAUAUAAUAUGUAUUUUUAGAUUUAGUUCAUACAUUGUUAAAUCAACUAUUCAUGUUGCAUACAAUCAAAUGACUCGAAAUAUACUGCAAUCGAUUCCCGCUGCAAUGCGCGGGGUAUUAUCUAGUAUGGAAGCAGUUCGCCACGAGCUCCCAAGCCUCUCAAUUGCAGGAACAUAACCUAAUGAAAGAAUCCAAGGAAAUACUCUAGCAAUUGGAGAAAAAUGAACAUAACCUAAUGAAAGAAUCCAAGGAAAUACUCUAGCGAUUGGAGAAAAAUACACUGGAAGCUACUUUCGAAGAAGUAUGUCUAGAAGUUGAGAAGAUGAAAAAGGAACAUGGAGAUGAAAGAUGGAAUGGCCAUUGUCCGACAACUCUUACUGAUCAUUGACAUUUUCAUAGUCGUUCUGAGUAAAUCGCCUUACACACUACUAUCAUAUUACAUUACAUGACUAAAGACAUGUUCUUUAUUGCCAUUUGCCAUGCAUGAUCAGAGUAUGGCUAGCAUGAUAUUUUUAUGACUUGUCUGUUUUUAUGUCUAUGAUACGCCAGAUCAUUGACAUCCUGGUACACUACCAGAAGCAUUCAUAUGUAGUUCCUUUCAUGUUUUGAGUUUGAGUUAUGAUUGCAUUCAGUUGAAGUGUGUCAAUAGAAAGUAUAUUGUUCAUAUUUGUAAGAUGUUGCUUCUACCCAAAAAGAGAGAGACCAGAUAAAAGAUGCACCACGGAGGUUCCACAAAAAGAAAAGAAAAAAGAAAAAAUGUGAGGAAGAAAGAUGGAGAACACAAUCAUACAUUUUAGUAUACACGAAGUUCUUCAAAGUAGCACCACUUCACGGACUGUAGCAUGGAAAAUUACCAUGAGCUUUAUGUUUGAUAUUAGUGGGGAACAUACGUUAUCGAAUUUGGCAUGUAUAUUCCGAUGACGAGCAUUCUCAGAACGUUGAGGUCGCAAGCAAGUAAGAUACACCCCCACUUAGUCCAUAUAGGAGAGGUUUCACAUAUUCAUAGCUCUGUAUGCAUCCUAGUUGCAUGGCGAUCCCUACUUCGUGCGUUAAAUCAAUUAUAAGGCCUUCUUCGUGCCUAACGUCAAAUGCUUUGAUGCAUGACUUUCUAUGUUUUUGAGUUCUCAAACCCCAAUCAUUAUUUUAGUUUUCCUUUAAGUGUGAGGUAUAAGCUUGCGCUCAGCUCUGCAUAGCUAGUUGAGCGGUUGACUAUAAGAAAUACAAACGAUCUUAGUGUUGUACCUAAUAUGCCUCGGGUUGGUGUUUUUGAAGCGAUCGCUGAUGCAUAAUUUCUUUUGUCUAUGACAAACAUUGCUUUGUUCUGGACGUAAUUUUGACAUUCUCUCUAAACCUUUGGUAAUGAUAAUUUGGACUUCAAGGAAAUAUUUCCUCUUUUUGGCCUCCAUGCCAAUGGAACUAAGAGGAUUGCAUGUAUUACUCCCUUACUAGUUAACUUUUGCAUGCUCUCAUGAAGAAUAUGGAUACACUUAUGGACUUAAUUUGGUUUUAGUGUAAGCUUUAGAGUUGGCAACAAUGAGCUUAGAUAGUGAACCUGCUUGCUCGAGGACAAGCAAGGUUUAAGCACAGAGAUUCUGAUGGCUCUAUAUUUCUACGCAUUUUUAGAUCUCAUUUGUUGCAUAUUAUCUGUAUAUAUCAUGUCACAAUGAAAUAAAUACAUGUCCAUUAUGCAUAUUUUUCGGUUUUCUCUUUUUUGUGAGCAUUGCAUAGUUUGUAAGGUUCCUUUGUUUCGUUGUGUCUACAGGUGUUUUGGAGCAACCUAGGACCAAGCACGAUGAAAAGGGAAAGGAUGGAUUUAAUAUGGAGGACUUCUAGGCACCAUACUUAGGCAUUUGGAAUGUCCAAAAUGGAAUAUUUUUGAAGUACUCAAAAUCAAAAUCCAAACACCAUAGGUGCAUUGGCACCGUUAAUACGAUUCUAACGAGCCCAAGAACGGCAAAAUCCGAGUUUGUAUGAAGAAAUGAUGAUCGUUUUAUCGGAGGAUUCCACAGUGUUCGACGGCGCAUGGGACAAGCGCGCCACUCGUACCACCGCUCGUGCCACACCCAGACAGGCUUGGAAAUGGUCCGAUCGGACGGGAUACUUCACUCAAUUUCAUCCCCGUUUGUUCCUUGUUGAUCCUAAUAAAGAUGGUUUUGGUAGAGGAUUUGACUCAUAUAGAGCCCUUGGAUCAAAGGAGAAAAACUACAUCUACGAAGGAGGCUUUGGGAGAGCCCUUAUAUAUAUAUACACCUUCAAUCCUAGCCGCCGUCAUCAUCUGCAUCAUGCGUCAUUCAUUUAAGAUCAAUCACAUCCCCAUUGCUGCUCCAAGACCACCUCCAUAGAUAUAAGUAGGGCCAAGACAAGAGGAGGCGCCACCACCACGUCGCACCGACCUUUGGGCUAGUGCUAUCUCCACCGCCGGCGUCGCCACCAUCAUCACCACCGUCGCGAUGCUCCUCUCCUCCACCGACUCCAUGUUGGUUUGUAACACACAUGUCCUCUGUAUGUCAUCGCUUCGUAUGUUUCAGUAGUUGUACUCAUUCUUGAGGAUUUGGGUGAACCCUUACAUGAUUAGCACUUCACUUCACAUAUCACAAAAAGUGCAACAACUACAUGUGCUCUUGCAGGACAUUAGGACAUGCAGCAACGGGGCCCUGUAUUGGAGGCUGGCCCCUCACGGGUGAUCGAGCUUGAUGGUAUGGGCGAGGUGAAGAACGAGGACGACGAGUCAGGCUCUGACACUGACUGGGACAAUCUCUGGGUAGUUCUCUCGGUUGAAGUAUGUUUGUAUUCAAACUAUGUUUAAAUUUGGACUCAAAUUUGCAAUGGUUUCGCUGUUCUUGUACCCAAUAUAGGGCAGCUGUUAUAGCAUUUUGGUGCCCUAUUAUAGGGCUGCUGUUGGAGCAAAAAUAAAUAAAUCCGGUGAUGCAAAAUUCGAUGUGCUAAGUUGGUGUGGUGUUCCUCUUCCUCUAAAAGACACAACCGUGUGCUUCUCCAAGUAAAGCUCAUCUGACUGAGGUCAAAAUUGGAGCAUUUUGUCGAUUUGCACAAAUUCAGAGUAACCAAUCUGAAAUCCAUCAGCACCAACAUGUUUGAUUGACGACGAGCCUAAUGGACAUAACAACACAGGCAUGCAUAUUCUAGUUUGAAUUCACAUGUUAUUGUAGUACCUGAUGGAAACAGAGGGCAACUGAAGUUCCUCAAGCAGGGUAGCCAGGUUACGUGCUGAACUGAGUGACCAACAGAUGAAUCGAAACUGAAACCGAUUAAGAUUGACUGCUCCAGAUUGAGACGAAACCCAGACAUCUGGACAUAAUCUUCUAGGGUCAAAAGAACAGAAGCCAAACGAAACGAAAAUCUGCGCUCUCUCGAUAGAUUUCGCUCCGCCAAUUGUGAAACUUAUUUGACCUGUCAUGGCUUCCUAUGACAGGCCCUGUUUCUCCCAAGUUCUGCAUUUCAGUGCAACGCUUACAACAUCAUGUUCUGAUGAUACUUCACAUGAUUCAUCAGUGUCAAACAAAAGCAUCCCGAUAACAUGUACUAAUGCAAAACAUGGGGCGUAUUCGCUCGAUUCAAGUGGUGGAAUGAAACCAAUGAAGCCUUUUUCAGCUGGGUGACCAAACUGUAGUUCCUUUUACGGCUAAAGGGAAUCGAAUAACUAUACACCACAGAAUAAAUACUCGAUUCAUGAGAUCCUGCAAUUCGGAAAACAGAGACAAUUGCACCCCAUAACCAAAAUGACAUUCUUAUAGCAGGAUAACAAGAAUAGCUUUCAAUCGAGCAGAUUGGAUAAGCAUGAUCGCCAGAGAUCAAAACUGAAAGCGUGAAACCACUGGGCUGAACAAAAGAAUCGAAACUGAACAGAGUGUGCGCACGCUCAGAUUUUUGUCGGACUCUGAAUGUGUCAUCUUUCAUGUUUGCACUUCAGUGCAAUGCUUACAAUCAAGAUGCUCCUACUAUUCAGCAUGAUUUCACAUGAAUCUUUGUGACAAUUGUGUUUGAUUUGUAUUGACACAUCUGAAAACAUGAUCAUGCUAUUCAAAACUUGGCCAGUAUUUCUGCCACUCAAGAAAACAGGAGCUCCUUUUUUUUGGCAAGAUAAACUGAAACACUGAAUAAGGAAAGAGUGAUGAAAAUUCGAAAAGCAGAUACGAUUACGCCCCAUGACCAAAAAGAAGAACAAAUUCUUCAAGCAGGAUCAACCAGAUCGAAACAGGACUGAUCAACAGAGGAAUCGAAACUGAAGCCAAGAAUAGCUUUCAAUCGAGAAGAUUCAGGAAACAGGGGCAAUUGUUUGAACAAAUUCCUGAAGCUGUAUAGCAAGAUUAGCUUUCAACCGAGAAGAUUGUAUAUAAGCAGGAUCAUCAUUCACCUCGCCGAGAUCAAAACUGGACUGAUCAACAUACUACAUAGGAAUCGAAACUGAAACCAAUGUGCUGAUCAACUAAGAUUAACUCCGACAUCUGUACGUUAGUUCUCACUGCCGAUUUGGGCGCUGCAAAAACUCGAGUCAAGACGAGCAAAAGAACUGAAAGGAAAAGAAAUUCUAGGCACCAUCAGGCCUCUGCCAUCUUGAUCGAUCGGCCCAUGGAGUGAUGAGCAGCCGUCAGCAAGCACGGCGUUUCUUGGCUUCGCCGGGGUACGCGAAGCUUGCUCUUGGGGGGGCGAUUCUUGGAAUUGGCCGGUGUCGACUCGGCUCAGGGCGCUUGUUGUUGGGGCCUCUGGCUCUGGGCGGCCUUGGCGGUGGCGGGGGCGGCGGAGGGACGGUGGCUGGGCGCGACGCGGACGUCGGUGACGGGGACGCGGACGAUCUUGCCGGCGAACAUGGCGUGGAGGUCGGCGGCGUACUUGACGCUGCAGUGGUAGGCGUCGGAGGAGGAGACGACCCGGGCCGGCAGCCAGAUGAGGAGGCAGCACCUGCCGGUCCCGUCGGCGAUCACCACGUAGUAGCGCGUGCGCACGUACACGGCCGUCCCGCACGCCAGCCGCCGCGCCGGGUGCACGCUCUCGGCCGCGCGGCCCGGGGCCGCCUCCGCCUCUGCCGCCGGGCGCUGCGCCGUCUUCUUGGGCGGCCCGGCGGCCCUCGCCGCCGACGAGGCCGACGGCGGGGGCUGCGGCGGCCGCGGCCUGGGCGCGGUGGAAGGCACCGGGCGAGGGGGGACCUUCUUGGAGAGCGCGGGGAGGCAGGGCGCGGAGGCCGGGCGGGCGAUCUUCUUGGUCGGCGGCGGGGAGAGGGAGGUGGUGGGGGGCAAAGACGGCCUCUUUACGCCGCCGGCGGGCGCGGCCGAGGCGGAGGAGGGCCGGGCGCUGCCGGCGGGGAACUGCGGCGGCAUUGCUCGGUCGGUGGAUCGAUCGAUUCCGCUUCUAGGCUAGGGUUUAGGGGCGGCGGAUCGAUUGGGGUCGACGGCGGGGGGUUUGGGGAUUGGAUAUAGUGGCGGCGUUGGAUUGUGUUUCCAACACGAGUACUAGUGCUCUCCGUUUCGCCGUUUUCAGGGCCCGAUGGGUCACGUGCUGCCCGUGUGUGCACGCCAAAAGGUUUGAACGCUAGUGGCCUCGAAACGGAGCAUUGAGGGGAAGCCCGAUGAGCCGUCGGAUCGCGAUCCGAUGGCCCACGCCCCACUUCCUGUCGAGAUUGCACACGCCUCCUCGCCGGGAGGGGAAAGAAACGCUUGCGAGCCGUGUCUCCGUUACAUUCCCCGCGCCUCCUCGCCGGGAGGGGAAAGAAAUGCGUGCGAGCCGCGUCUCCGUUACAUUCCCCAUUAUGGUAUGUCAGCGGCUCGGGGAUACCGAGCAUCGUCUAAAAGAGGCAUGUUGUUACUGUUUUCAUCUGGUUUCCUAAAGAGCAUGAGUAAGCACGGGAAGCCCAACUGGCGGCUGCUGAGCUAUCGGAUCGUAAUCCGGUGGCCUACGCACCCACUUUUUGUCGAGGUUUCUCUCGCGCCCUCGUCUGGAGGAAAAGAAACACUUGUGACCCAUAUCUCAGUUACAUUUUUGGUUGUGAUAUGUUGGUGGCUCCGGAGCCACCGAUCAUCGCCCAAAAGAGGCAUGUCAUAUCGUUGACAUCAAUUUCCUAUAGUAAACCCUUGGAAACCGUUUCAUAGUAUCGUUUAUUGUUCGUUCUUCUCUUGCUUGCAGCGCCACCCCAAAUUGCCUAUGAUGUGUCAGUGCAAGAGCGAGUCAACUCCAUGCAAACACUUAAACUUCAAGGAUGUGUUUGGUUAUCGACCAAGUUUUCACGUUUUGGCCCGUCUUGAUGCAGUGGAGCCUGUGUUAGUUGGGCCAAGGCUUGAGCCAUGCUCCGCAACUUGUUUGGAUGGUUGCACUAUAUCCGAUGGUAGUUUCAUACAUGGCGUUGGUUUGUAGCACUCGAUGUUUAAGGCUCUAAAGAUUCAAAUACCAGGCAUUUGGUUCCUCAUAGCCUAAUGUUGUGGUCACCCUCUUCUCACUUGUGGUGACCCUACUACAAAUUACACUACAUAGGCAGUAGCAAAUUAAGAGCAAUGCUAGACAUGGAUCUUUAGAGGUUGAUUAGGGAUGAUGGGCCAGGAUUAAAUUAGGGGGACAUGCCCACCAAUGAAAUUCAAGGGAGGCAAUUACAUGAGACCACAUCUCUCCCUCCGUACACUCCUUUAGAGCAUUUUCAAUAGUUGUCCUACAAUAGGGCCCAACCACUUUGUAUGGCACUUGGGGCAAAACCAGCCUCAACAGCUGCCCUAUCAUAAAAAAAAAGUGUUCAAAUUUUUGUGGGCAUCCCUAAAAUGCAGCAUUAAGUGUUGCAAAUAUACAACACUUGGACGACUGCUGCAAAACUGAGCGACCAGCCAGCAACACACAAAUCACCGGUCGUUCAUCCCCGUGCGCGACCAUACCUCCACUUGAUACGUCUCCAACAUAUCUAUAUUUUUUUAUUGUUCCAUGCUAUUAUAUUAUCAUUCUUGGAUGUUUUACAAUCAUAUUAUAUUAUUUUUUUGGUACUAACAUAUUGACAUAGUGCCCAGUGUCAGUUGCUGUUUUCUGCUUGUUUUUUACAUCGCAAGAAAUCAAUAUCAGACGGAGUCCAAAUGUAGCGAAACUUUUUGGAGAUUUUUUUUGGACUAGAAGACAUCCAGUAAGCCAGAGAAGCACCUCGGGGUGCCCUGAGGGGGGCACAACACACCAGGACGCACCCAGGUGAGUUGUGCCCACCUCGGUGGCCUCCAGCACCGCCUCUUCGCUCUAUAAAUGCCCAAAUAUUCCAAAAACCCUUGGGGAGUCGACGGAAUUUUGUUCCAGCUGCCGCCAGUUCUAGAACCCCGAGAUCCAAUCUGGAGCCCUUCUCCGGCAGUCCACCGGAGGGAGAAAUCAUCACCGGUGGCCAUCUUCAUCAUCCUGGCGGUCUCCAUGAUGAGGAGGGAGCAGUCCACCCUCGGGGCUGAGGGUUUGUACCAGUAACUAUGUGUUUAAUCUUUCUCUCUCAUGUUCUCGAGAUGUCACGAUCUUGAUGUAUCAUGGGCUUUGUUAAUAUAGUCGUAACAUAUGGUGUCCCCCCCUCUAUCUUGUUGUGAUGAAUUGAGAUUUCCCUUUGAGAUUUCGUUUUAUCGGAUUGAAUGCUUUUAUGGAUUCGAGAGCACUUGAUAUAUGUCUUGCAUAUGGAUACUCAUGGUGACAAUGGGGUAUUAUAUUGAUUCACUUGAUAUAUGUUUUGGCACUCAACUCGUGAAUUCCUGAGGUGACAUUGGGGUAAUCUAUGCAUAGGGGUUGACGCACGUUCUUGUCUUUGUUUCUCCAGUAGAAAUCUUGGGGCACUCUUUGAGGUUCUUUGUGUUGGAUUGAGUAUUACAAAUCUGAAUUCGCUUUGGUGUUAUUUUAGUACGAACUCUUGGAUAGAUCGAUCGGAAAGAAUAGCUUUGAGGUGGUUUCGUACCCUACAAACAAUUUAUUCUUAUGUUCUCCGCUAGAUAAGAACUUUGGAGUGAUUCUUCAUCGCACUUUAAGGGAUGGUUAUAUGAUCCAAUUAUAUUAGCAUUGUUGAGAGAUUGCACUAGCGAAAGUACGAACCUAGGCCUCAUUUUCAAGCAUUGCACUACCGUUUGUGCUCACUUUUGUUACUUGCUACCUUGCUGUUUUUGUUUAUUUAGAUUAUAAAAAUAUAUUUCUACUAUCCAUAUUACACUUUUAUCACCAUCUCUUUGCCGAAUUAGUGCACCUAAACAAUUUGCCAUUGUAUUGAGUAUGUGGGGGACACAAGAGAUUUCUUGUAUUUGGUUGCAGGGUUGUUUGAGAGAGACUAUCUCCAUCCUACGCCUCCCACGGAUUGAUAAACCUUAGGUCAUCCACUUGAGGGAAAAUUGCUACUGUCCUACAAAACUCUGUGCUUGGAGGCCCAACACGAGUCUAUGGGAAUAAAGUUGCGUAGUAGACAUCACCACUCCACCGGCUAGCAGCGGUGAUUUUCUGCCGCGUAGGCCAUUGCCGCCGCUCCGCCCAGCCGCUGCACUCCGCUGCUCCGAACGACCGUCGGAGCCCACGUCACUCCAUUGAUUUCAUAUCCGGUGGUGUGCUGAUUCCGACGAUUUCGGCCAACCACUGGAGUGUCGUUGCCCAUAUGGCUCUCGCAGCUCAACUAUAUCCUAUGGAGGUGGACUAGCGGCCACUAGUGCACCGUCGCUUGCCGGCCGACCCUAUGACCAAGCGGGUUGAAAACAAGCUUCGGCGCCCUGAAUGAUUUUCAUGGGCAAAAUCGCUUUUCAAGCGUCAACGGAGGUUCUUCCUAGAAAUUACCUAGGCCCGGUUGCUAUCUAGCCAUUGAUGAGACGCUGAUGACCCACAAGUAUAUGGGGUCAAUUGUAGCCUUUUCGAUAAGUAAGAGUGUCGAACCCAAUGAGGAGCAGAAGGAAAUGACAAGUAUUUUUUAGCAAAGUAAUGUCUGCAAGUGCUAAAAUUGUAAGUAGUAGAGUAGUUUGAUAGCAAGAUAAUUUGUAACGAGCAAGUAAUGAUAGUAGUAAAAAAAAGUGCAGCAAGGUGGCCCAAUCCUUUUGAGGCAAAGGACAAGCCAAAACGGUCUCUUAUGAUAAGCAAAGUGUUCUUGAGGGUACACGGGAAUUUCAUCUAGUCACUUUCAUCAUGUUGGCUUAAUUCGUGUUCGCUACUUUGAUAAUUUGGUAUGUGGGUGGACCGGUGCUUUGGUGUUGUACUUACUUGAACAAGACUUCUACUUAUGAUUAACCCCCUCGCAAGCAUCUGCAACUACGAGAAAAGUAUUAAGAAUAAAUUCUAACCAUAGCAUUAAACUUUUAGAUCCAAUCGGUCCCUUACGGAAUAGCGCAUAAUUAAACUAGGGUUUAAGCUUCUGUCACUCUCGCAACCCAUCAUCUAAUAACUACUCCACAAUGCAUUCCCUUAGGCCCAAAUAUGGCGAAGUGUCAUGUAGUUGACGUUCACAUGACACCACUAAGGGAAUCACAACAUACAUAUCAUCAAAAUAUCAAACACAUAUCAAGUUCACUUGAUUACUUGCAACAUGAUUUCUCCCGUGACCUCAAGAACAAAAGUAACUACUCACAAAUGAUAAUCAUGCUCAAGAUCAGAGGGGUAUUAAUAGCAUAAUGGAUCUGAACAUAUAAUCUUCCACCAAAUAGACCACAUAGUAAUCAACUACAAGAUGUAACCAACACUACUAGUCACCCACAAGCACCAAUCUAUAGUUCCGGUACAAAGAUUGAACACAAGAGAUGAACUAGGAUUUGAGAUGAGAUGGUGAUGUUGAAGAUGUUGAUGAAGAUAGCCCUCCCCAAGACGGGAGAGUUGUUGGUGAUGAUGAUGACGAUGAUUUCCCCCUCCGGGAGGGAAGUUCCCCCGACGGAAGCACUCCGCCGGAGGGCAAAAGUGCUCCUGCCCAGGUUCCGCCUCGAGACGGCGGCGCUUCGUCCCGAAAGUCCUCCCCUUAUUUUUUUUCUAGGUCAAAAUGACUUAUAUACCAGAAGAGGGGCACUAGAGGUGGGCCUGGGUGAGCACAACCCACCAGGGCGCGCCUGGGCUCCUUGGCGCGCCCAAAUGGGUUGUGCCCACCUGGUGGGCCCCCACUGGUACUUACUGACUCCAAAAAUUCUUAUUUAUUCCAUAAAAAUCCUCCUAAAGUUUUAGCUCAUUUGGAGUUGUGCAGAAUAUGUAGCCUGACGUAGCUUUUUCAGGUCCAGAUUUCCAGCUGCCAGAAUUCUCCCCUUUGUUGUAUACCUUGCAUAUUAUGAAAGAAAAGGCAUUAGAAUUACUCCAAAAAGCAUUAUUAUACAAUAAAACAACAUAAAUAACAAUAGGUAAACAUGAUGCAAAAUGGACAUAUCAACUCCCCCAAUCUUAGACCAUGCUUAUCCUCAAGCGAAAACCGAAAUCAAAAAACAUGUCCACAUGCUUAGAGAGAGAGAGGUGUCUAUAAAAACAAAAAUAUGGACAUAGCAGCAUCAUGUAACAUAUUAUAAUAGCAACAAACUUUAACAUAAAACUUUUAUCGUAGAACUUUUACCAUUGACUUCUCAUGAACAAGUGAAAAUUCAUCACAACAUCGAAGUAUAAAGCAUAAACCCUAUUGGAAACCAACAAACUAUGUUCUCAAUCAACUUUGCAACUACAAUUCAUCAUCUUUUUAGGAAGGGUCACUUAUCGGAGCCUUUAGGCAAGUCUACAUACUCAACCAUCAUUUAGUCUUCUAUGAUUGCUAACACUCACCGCGUACACAUGAGCAAAACGUUUCAACCGGACACAUAGAAAGAUAGGGGCUUAUAGUUUCGCCUCCCAACGUAUUCACCUCAAGGGUGAUGUCAACAAUAAUAACUCAUGCUACCCAUAUUCAACUGGAUAUAUGUGCCUAGAUCUUUCCCCACCACAUGAUGCUUGCCAAAGGAGAAAAUAAAAAGGAAUAGAGAGAAAAACUUUGACUCUUGCAUGAAAGUAAAUACAUAGAAGUAAGAUAGGCACUUCGCAGAGGGAAGCAGAGGUUGCCAUGUGCUUUUUGUUUGUAUGCUCAACCCCUUAGUGCAAGAGAACGUCACAUUAUAUUGCCCCUUAUGAUGGCAACCUUUAUUAUGCAGUCUGUCGCUUUUAUUCUUCGCCAUCACAAGUUCGUACAACGUUCAAUUUUCCCUUACACUAAAUGAUCUCACACUUUUAUAAGCAAUUUUUAUUGCCUUUUUGCACCGAUGACAACUUACUUGAAGGAUCUUACUCAAUCCAUAGGUAGGUAUGGUGGACUCUCAAACAAGAUUUGAGUUUAAGGGUUUUGGAUGCACAAGUAGUAUCUCUACUUAGUGCGGAAUUUUUGGCUAGCAAAGAUAGGGACAAGCACUACAUAUUGAAGGAUCUAUGACAAUAUAACUUCUAUGUGAAUAUGAACAAACAUAAAUCAUUACAUUGUCUUCCUUGUCCAACGUUAAUAAUUUUGGCAUAUAAUAUUUUGCUGUUGUUUGAUAGCAGUGUAUGCGUUGAGGCAUGUUGAGCUGAGACUUUGUUUGGCAGCCUGCAUGUGUUUUGACAUGUUGAACAAUUUCGAAUUCCGAAUAAUUUUUUGACUAGUGAACAAAAAAUUUAAACAUAUUUUGAAGUUCUAAUCUUUUACUAAAAUUUAAAACAAAAUUUGAAAGUCUAAACAUUUUUUAAAAUUUAAAUAAAAUUUGAAAUUCUGAAACUUUUUUGAAAAUCUGAACAUAUGUGAAAUUCCGACUUUUUUUAAUUUAAACAAUAUAUGAAUAUUUUUUAAAAAAUUAACGAAAUUUGAACAUUUUUUAAAAUCUAAACAAAUUUGAAAUUCUAAAUAUUUUUUCAUUUUUUUGGAAUUCUAAAUAUUCUUGAAAAUUUAAACAAAAAUAGAAAUUCUGAGCAUUUUGUGAAAUCUGAACAUUUUUUGAAAAUUUAAACUAUUUUAAAAUUCAGAUCUUUUUUGAAAUUUUUUAAAAAAUUGAAGUUUUGAACUUUUCUGAAAAUGUAAACAAAUUUUGAAAUUCUGAACUUUUUUGAAAAUGUAAACAAAUUUUGAAAUUCUGAAUAGGCGUGUGCAGUGACGCUGGGCCGAGUCGGACGCGCAAGCGCUGACGCCCCCACGAUGCCGAGGCAGCCCAGCAACUUCUUCCCCCUUUCCGAUCUCCACUCCACAGUCCUACCUACCCAUCCUCCCCUUCCGAGUCUCCAGCCAUACCUAGUCGCCGCCGGAAGAGCAGCGCGAGAUGAGCUCCGGGAUGGGGAAGGUGGUGUGCGUCACCGGCGGCUUGGGCUACAUCGCCUCCUGGCUCGUCAAGCUCCUCCUCCACCGCGGCUACACCGUCUGUGCCACCGUCAGGGACACCGGUCAGGACCCCCUUCCCUUCGCCCUCCCCUUGUUCCCUUCCUUUUCCGCCUCAUCUACUACGUGCUGGAUUCAUGGUUAUCGACCCAGCUGGUUCUUGGUUGGUCCCCGCCAGGGAUUCAUCCAUUCAGUGGGUGGGGGACUAGGUUUUGUUCAGGUUGUCAGAUUGGAACUGAUAUAGGGAAGAAGAAGCUAUGCUGCGAGUGAGUGAGUGGCAGCGUUCGGGAGUCAACGCCAUCUCCCUCCCUACAACUGUUAUUAUAUUUACAAAUCCAAGUCUGGAAGAGUCAAGGGGCAGCCAUCCUGAUUUGUGAAUUGCAUGAUAUCCUGGAAUCUGCCUCUUACCCUGUUUUGGCGUGUGGUGAUUUUAAUCUUGUUAGACAACAAUCUGAUAAAAGCAAUGGCAUGAUUAAUCCACAUUUUGCCUUCCUCUUCAAUGAUUGGGUUAAUAGAUGGGCUUGCUAGAAAUUUCCAUUUCCAACAGAUCUUUCACCUGGUCCAAUAAUCAAAAUAAUCCCAUCUUUGCCAUUCUAGAUAGGGUGUUCACUUCUAUGGACUGGGAUAUGCAUUUUCCUUUUAUCUACUUUGAUUGCCCUUCCAAGGGUGGGGAGUGACCACCCCCCCUAGUUUUAGACACUGGGCUAGAAAAGUUAAUUGUCCUAAGAUGUUUAGGUUUGAGAAGUGGUGGUUAGCUCAAUAUGGGUUCUCCCAGCUUGUGCAUGAUGUGUGGACUAAGAAUGGUGAUGCUAGUUCUUCUAUUGAGAAUUGGAUGUGCAAAACUAGAGUUCUUAGGAAAGUCAUUAAAGGUUGGAGCAUUCAUAUAGAGGCUGCCAUGAAGAAGAAGAAAAAAUCCCUCCUUAUGGAGUUUGACAUCUUAGAUGUGAAGUCUGAGCAAAAUCAUCUUUCUCCAUGUGAGUUUGAGAGAAUGAAUCUCAUUAAGAAAGAGUUGGAUGAUCUUUGGAAAAAGGAAGAGACUGCCUUCUGGCAGAGAUCUAGAGACAGAAAAAUCUUGGAGGGAGGUUGUAAUAAUGCUUAUUUUAUGGCUCUAGCUAAUCAUAGACAUAGGAAAAACCACUUGGAUGAAUUAAUUGGCCCUGAUGGCCCUGUCACAACUACUGAUGAUUUGUUGGAUGUUGCUACUAACUUCUAUAAGAAUCUUUUUUCUUAUGAACAAAAACCUGAUAUUCAUUUAGAUGAUGACUUUUGGGAUGACUGUGACAUGAUCACCGAGGAGGAGAGAGAGAUUUUGGAAAAACCCUUUUCUGAUUAGGAGAUUAAAAAGGCAAUUAUGAGUUCUUAUGCUGGAGGAGCUCAUGGCCCUGAUGGCCUGUCAUUUAUUUUUUAUCAAACCUUUUGGGAGUUAAUUAAAGAUGACUUUAUGUGGUUAGUGAAAGAUUUUGAAAAUGGUAAUCUGGAUGUCUCCAGAUUAAACUUUGCUAUUAUUACCCUGAUUCCUAAGGUUAAUAAUGCUAAAGAUAUGAAUUUUUUUAGACCUAUCAGCCUUGGAAACUGUUCUGUUAAGAUUUUUUCAAAAGCUAUGAAUACUAGGGCUUCCCCUAUAUGUGACAAAAUUAUCUCCCAAAAUCAAACUGCAUUUAUUAAGGGGAGAUUCAUACUUGAAAGUGUAGUCAUGGCUCAUGAAGUGAUUCAUGAGAUCCAUAGAUCUGGUUCUAGUGGCCUGGUUCUGAAAUUGGAUUAUGAAAAAGCCUAUGAUAAGGUGAAUUGGGAUUUCCUUGUGGAAAUGUUGAGGUCUAGAGGUUUUGGUGAGAAAUGGAUUGGUUGGGUUUGUAGUUGCCUUCAUCAGGGGACUUUUGCUGUGAAAAUUAAUGACACUAUUGGUCCUCAUUUUGUGGGAGGGAAAGGGCUAAAACAAGGUGACCCUUCCUCUCCUCUUCUUUUUAACUUAGUGGCUGAUGUUUUUUCUAAAAUGCUGAAGAAAGCUACUAGCCAUAACUUGAUUAAAGGGCUUCUGCCUCAUGUAGUGCAUGGUGGUGUGGUCAGCUUGCAGUAUACUGAUGACACACUACUAUUUUUAGAUGCCUCUGUUGAUCAUGCCAGACAUUUGAAAUGGAUCUUGGCUUGUUUUGAAAAACUAUCUGAUCUCUGUAUCAACUUUCAUAAAAGUGAUUUGCAUACCAUCAAUAUUAAUGAGGAGACUGCUAAGGAGUUUGCCCAAAUUUUCUGUUGCCAAAUUGGGGAUUUCCCUUUUAAAUAUCUUGGUGUUCCUUUACAUUUCAAGAAACUAAGGAGAGAGGAUAUCCAACCCAUUAUUGAUAGAAUUAUCAGGAAUAUUGCUGGGUGGUUGGGUAGAAAUCUGUCUUAUAAGGGGAAAUUGAUUUUACUUACUACCUGCAUUGCUAGUAUUCCCACUUACUUAAUGUCCAUUAUGAAAUUUCCUAAGUGGGCAAUUGAUGCUAUUACUUCUCAAAUGUCUCAUUUUUUCUGGGGUAAUGUUGGAGACAAUCAUAAAUACCACCUAGCCAAGUGGGGGCUGGUCUCUCAAAAGAAAGAGUGGGGUGGCUUGGGUGUUCCUAAUCUUAGGGAGUUUAAUAUGUCUUUACUUGCUGCUUGGAGUAAACGAUUCUUUGAUGAUAGAGAUAGUGACUGGAAGAAAAUGCUUAAUUACAAGUAUAAUGUGGAUAGGCCAAAUAUUCUCUGGUCUAGAACUGGGGUAGGCUCUCCCUUCUGGAAGAGCUUUACCUGGGCAUUUUCUGCUGCUAAGACUUUUUAUAGGUGGAUCCUGGGAAUGGGAGAAAUAUUUCUUUCUGGCAUGAUACCUGGGUGGGUGAUUGUUCACUCAAGACUAGGUUUUGGGACCUCUUUGUGAUCUGUCAGCAACAAGAUGCCUCAGUGGCCCAGGUUUGGGAUGGGGAGAAUUUGCAGCUGACCUUUAGAAGAUGUGUUAAUGAAGAUACUUUAUGCUCCUGGAAUGAGAUACUUAGUGUGGUUAAAAAUGUUCCUUUUUCCAACAUGGCUGAUAAGCCUGUGUGGACGUUGGAAAGCAAAUGAUUAUAUUCAGUAAAAUCUAUGUAUAAGGUGAUAAAUUGGGGGGGGGGGAGGGCGUGGUCUCUAUCUGGAGAGAUUUUAUCUGGAAAAUUAGUGUCCCACCCACCUAAUAUCCAUGUGUUUCUUUGGCUAAUGGUGCAUAACAAGAGUCUGACUAGGGACAAUCUGGUUAAAUGCCAGCAUGUGAAAGACCUGACAUGUGUCUUCUGUAGUGAAGCUGAAAGUAUCCAUCACUUGUUUUUUGAAUGUGUGGUGGCCCGACAAGUGUGGCUGGUGAUCUCUAACUGCACUAAGAUGCAUGUACCUGAAUCAUUUGAAUCUUUUAUUCCUUUUUGGAAGAAGAAGAAAAAAUGCUAUGAUGCUAUAAACCUGAUUUAUGCUGCUACCUUAUGGAGCUUAUGGUUGUUUCGGAAUGAAAUUGUGUUCCAUGGAAGAAGAUGGCGAAGUAUCAAGUGUGUGCUGGAAAUGGUGGGGAGGCAUAUCCAUCAAUGGAAGAUACUGUGCGUGGACUCCCAAGCUGUGCUAAUCCUCCAAUGCUUGAAGCUGCUCGACCAUCAUCGCCGGGAGUUGCUUAGGAUUACCUGGCAUGUAGAUGCUCCUGUAGGGAUUUCAUAGCUUGUGCGUUGCCUUCCCUGUAGGGGUCGUAUCCUAGUUAUCUUGUAGGUGUUCAGACUUUUGCUGCUUCAUCAAUAAUAAUUCUGUUGCGGCUACUUCUGGCUAGAGCCGAGAGCUAUUAACAGUGUGUUUUGGUUGCCUUUGCUUUUUCAAUAAAAAGUUGGGGCAGGGGCAACCCCUUUAGUUUCAAAAUAAAAAAUUCAUAAGAGCCUGUUGUAAAUUGAUCAUCAAAGCCGUGGACACAGCUCCAGUGCCGUAAAGGCACCUGCCUUUGAGUCACUAACAUGUGGGCCAGCCACCUGUUGGACCCACAUGUCACAGUCAUAAAGGCAGUAUGUUUGAGGAGUGUCAGUCGAGGCUAGUCCUGGCCAUCUCUGGUCCGGCCCUGUCGGCCCACCCAGGUCUGGCCCUAAAAUCCAGGGCCUAGGCCCGAUGGGCUUGCUCGUGGGCCGGGCUUAGGCCUAAGUUUUGAGCCCACCAGCAGGGCCUUGACGGGCUUGGCCUUGGCAUAUUGGCAUUUUAAGGAAGAGGCCCGACCUAUGGCCCUAAGCCUUAAGGGCUUUCGAGGGCUUUUUACCAGAUGGGCCGGGCUUAGGCUUGAAAAGUAGGCCCGAUGGUAGGGCCUGGGCCUCAGUUUUCUGCCGUGGGCUUUUUUAGGCCCGGCCCAAGCCCGGCCCGGCCCGGCGCAUGGCCAGAUAUAGUCGAGGCGUUGAGGAAGAAAGUGAGAGGGAGUCCACUUGAAUCACACGGACGUUUCAAAAGUUCAGCGUGGCGUGUGCGCUGACGCUGGGUCGAGUCGGAAGCGCAAGCCCAGCAGCAUCUCUUCUCCCCCCUUUCCGAUCUCCACUCCACAGUCCUACCUACCCAUCCUCCCCUUCCGAGUCUCCACCCAUACCCAGCCGCCGCCGGCGGAAAGAGCACGGCGAGAUGAGCUCGGGGAUGGGCAAGGUGGUGUGCGUCACCGGCGGCUCGGGCUACAUCGCCUCCUGGCUCGUCAAGCUCCUCCUCCACCGCGGCUACACCGUCCGCGCCACCGUCCGGGACACCGGUCAGGACCCCCUUCCCUUCUCCCUCCCCUUGUUCCCUUCCUUUUCCGCCUGAUCUACUACGUGGUGGAUCCAUGGUUACGGCCCAGUUGGUUGUUGCUUGGUUCCCGCGGCCGCCCCGCCAGGGGUUCAUCGAUUCAGUGGGUGGGGGACUAGGUUUUGUUCAGGUUGUCAGAUUGGAACUGAUACAGCGUCAGGGACCAAUUAGUUCAUGCUGUGAGUGAAUGAGUGGCAGCGUUGGGGAGUCAACGCCAUCUCCCUCCCUGCAACUGUUAUAUUUACAAAUCCAAGUCUGGAAGUGUCAAGGGGCAGCCAUCCUGAUUUGUGAAUUUUAAACUGCACAACCUAGCUCUCACAAACAUAAUACUGUUGCUAGCAUGUCGCUGCGACAGUCAAUUUUUUCCCCAUUAUAAAUCUUUUAGAUUUGUUGGCGUUCAAAAUCAACAUGAAUUCAGGCUCUGUUCACUCACUCCCUUGUACACUACUUAAUUACUAGUUAGCAAUAAGAGCAUGCUGUGAGUGCUAGUGUUGGGGAGUCAACGGCAUCUCCCUGACGAAACUAUAUAUCCAAGUCUAGUAAGACUCAAGUGGCAGCCAGUCUGACUUCCAAAUUAAAAAACUACACAAGUGAGUUCUCAUAAUAGUGUGGCCAGCGUGUUCCUGUGACACUCAAUUAACAUAAAUGUUGGCAUGCUGGAAUGUUUUCUAUUUAAUAAUUAUCUUGGCUGAAUGGGUUGAGUGGGUGGGGGUGUUUUAAUAAAUAAAGAACUGAUAUUUCCUUCUUUCAGCCGACCCCAAGAAAACGUUGCACCUGCAGGCCCUGGAUGGAGCCAAGGAUAGGCUGCACUUGUUCAAAGCAAGCUUGUUAGAAGAAGGCUCCUUCGAUGCUGCCAUCGCGGGUUCUGACUGUGUGUUCCACACGGCUUCUCCCUUUUAUCACAAUGUCAAGGAUCCCAAGGUUAGCAUGUACUAUAUCAUGACCAUCUUGUGCACAAUUACAGACAGCAUGUGUUUGUUCCUUAAUUAUGCAUGUGUGCGGGCUUAUGUUUUCAACAGCUAAAACUGUUUAUGAUGUUUAGUUAGUAAAUUCAACAGCUUCACUGGACGUUUGUUCUGUGUACUUAUGUGUGUCUUUACUGUCUUGCAGGCUGAGUUACUUGACCCAGCAGUCAAUGGAACACUCAAUGUUCUCCGUUCCUGCAAAAAAGCCUCAAUCAAGAGAGUGAUCAUAACGUCGUCCAUGGCUGCUGUUGCCUACAAUGGGAAGCCCAGAACACCUGAUGUAGUAGUUGAUGAGACAUGGUUUUCAAGUGCAGAGGUCUGUGAAAAGAAUGAGGUAAUAUGUCUUUCUGUGCUGGUAGAGCUCUGCUUGUUUUUCACAUAUGGUGUGGCAAGUCAUGUUAAUAAAUACAUAUGCCUGUGCUCUAUAUUUAUCACUCUGCCUGCACUCAAAUGCCCUUGAUUAGCGUACUAGAUGACUUACAUACACCUCUACUGAAAUACAGUUUCUUAGGAUGAGAGGGUGAUACCAUUGUUGUUGAAGAUCUUGGUUUUUGUGUUUUCACACAAGGAUGUAGGUUGAGUCCAAUUAUACAUAAUCCAUAACGAGAAAUUUAAGAAUAGGAAAGUAACUGUCAAUUGAUCUUGUUCCAUCUUUAUUUGUGUCAUACUAUACUUGUUUUCAGGAAAAAAAAAACUAUACCUGGUUAAGUCAACACUAGUGCCAGUAUGUUAUAGGUAGUCAGUCUCUGUCUGCUGCUACUACACAAUUGCAGAACAACUCUGCAUCUACACAUUAUUCAGUUAAGAUUUUGCUGAAUAUAAACAUAGUACUUGCCUCAUAGAUGUUGAACCGGCAUAUAAAUAUAUAAUCACUUCACUACUAUUAACAUACGAAUGACAUCUGCACUUGUCAUCAUAAGUAUAUCGCUACUAUUACCAUACGACUGACACCUGCAUUUAUCAUUAUAAGCACAUUGUUCUUCAGUAGGGAUAUGCGUUCCAUUCCUCGUAUUGACUAUAAGCUUAGACAUAAUUUCUGCUUUAACAGAGUUCUUUCGAUAUUUGUUACCUAACUUGAAAUUAGAUUGCCUUAUAUAACUUUGUAUGCAAAUCUUUCAAAACUUUACUUUCACAUCCUUUUGUAUUGCCAUUUUAAAUCCGUACUUGACUGUACAUCAUUUGCAUUCUCAUCUGGUUCUCCUGAAUGUUCAUCUGCUUCAGCAAUGGUAUGUGCUAUCCAAGACCCUUGCUGAGGAAGCUGCAUGGAAGUUUGCAAAUGAUAAUGGAUUUGAAAUAGUUACAAUAAACCCAGCUAUGGUCAUCGGUCCUCUGUUGCAGCCUACACUGAAUACUAGCGCAGAGGCAAUAUUGAAGUUUAUAAAUGGUAUGUCUGUAUGUGUCUUCAUAAUUAAUUUUUUAGGUUAGCUCUGUGCAAGUAUGUAAGGUAGAGCUCUGUUACACCCUACACACAUUUUGCAUUUGUCAUUUGUUUGAGAGAAUACCCCUGUUAAGCCAUUAGCACAAUUUCUGCAAACAAGCUCAAGAUAUUCCAAGUGCUAUUGAAUUAUGUUCCUUUCAUUUCUUUUUAUGUGUGUACAUGUGUUUUGGGCACUGGCAGAAGCACUAUAGACAUUGCCAUAUUGGAAUGAUUCUACUCUUCAUUGUUUAUCUAGCUAAUAGUUUGUGCAUCCUAAAGCUGCACGUUACAUGUACGGUGAAUGUUAUGAAUCUUAUAAGAAAUAUCAAUAAGAUGACUGUUUAAUUGGACAUUUGAUUGUUCUCUAUGGGGGUCUGGCCUAUGGUACCUUCAGUGCCAUGAAUAUAUUUUCAUCUAGCAGAGAGGAUAUUUGUUGGCCGAUCAGAAACAUGCAUGACGUAGAUGCUUAUGUCUCAAAAAUAUUAAAAACUACAGUUCUUGUGCCAAAAGAAGUCUACUCUAACGGGACAUCUCUGAACUCUUGACAAGAAAUCCUUGGUAUUUUCAUGCAGGAUCAUCUUCUACAUACCCCAAUUUCAGCUUUGGAUGGAUAAAUGUUAAAGAUGUUGCCCUGGCACAUAUUCUUGCAUAUGAAGUUCCUUCAGCAAACGGAAGAUACUGUAUGGUUGAAAGAGUUGCUCACCACUCGGAGAUUGUCAAGAUCAUACAUGAAAUGUACCCCAACUUUCCAGUGCCAGAAAAGUAAGCUAACAUUCUUUGCAAGCGCUUUCUCAAGUAAAUUCCUUGGAAUCGAAUCGAGAACAGCAGUGUUGGAUAUUAGUUAUUUGUUUCUUGUUGAGGCUUCACGGACACCGAAGAGCGCUUAAGCUGUUCAUUUGCACCAUUUCUUGUUGAGGCUUCAUGGACAUUGUAGUGACGGGACUCAUUAUUUUCCAUUUUUUGUGCAGGUGUGCAGAUGACGCACCAUUUGUCCCUAUCUACCAGGUAUCGAAGGACAAGAUAAGAAGUUUGGGCAUGGAGCUGAUUCCCCUGGAGACGAGCCUCAAGGAGACUAUUGAGAGCUUGAGAGAGAAAGGAUUUGUUACUUCUGAGUCGAGCCAUCUGUGAAACUUCCUUUGCUUUGGCGUCACUGGAUGCAUGCAUGUUUAUGUACACCUAAAAUAAAUGGAGGCAUAUUGCACUCUGUGAAUCCGUUGUGUUUUCAUGGAUUCGAGUCUCAAGAUGUUCCUUAGAAUAUGGGCAAUCAGGAGCAUGCUUGCAAAUAGAAAGACUCACUACUUAGUCUCGAUGACAUGCUAGUGGACUUAACUUUCUAGCGACAUAUAGUGUAUAUAUAUUUCUACAUGACUUCAUAUGUAUACUAUACUCUAGAUAACUUCUGGAAAUGAUCCAAUUGAGAAAGAAAUGUGUUUGUGGAAACUGGUUCUACUAACAUGAUUUUAAGGGAGAUUCAAUAUUUCCAGACUAUUAUGAAGAGCAGUGGAAGUGUCGUGACAUUGUUGGUCAUGGUGCUGUAAUUGUUGCUUCAACAAUUGCACUCCUUAUGGAUACUAUAUGGUAAUCUUGGAUGCAUAUGUAUCUAUAUUUUAAUAAUACCUUGUUGAGUUCUAAGAAUAUCCGUAAAAUUGCUUAUGUUGAAAUUCAUAAACUGAGUGAGGUUGAAAACCUACUCGUAACUCAGCAAAAGGGAUUUUCAAGGAAAUCUCAGAGUAAAUGCUUCUCUAUAUUGUGGAUUGUAUUAUACAUGCAUUAAACAAGCUACACAUUUGGCAUAAAAAAUAAUUUUCUAGAAUCUUGAUAAGUUCAAGAUAUGACAUGGUCGCGUAGGUCAUCCUGAGGUUGGGAUGAUAAGAAAAUUAUUGAUGGUUCCAUUUGACAAAAUUCUAGGCUGGUAUGCGAAAUUCGAUUCGUUUGGCCAGGUUUGCAUAUGAGUAGCAUCAAUUGCGCUAAUACAAUCAUUUUCAGGCAUGAACAAAGUGAAACUGUUAUGGUUCACAACAAUAAAUUCAUGCCAUGGCAUGAACUAACAAUUAGUACUGCCCACCUUGAAAUAUGGAUACCAUCUAUAGUUGGUUCAUAUCUUCAAAGGAGUUUGACCAGUAGAUGGCUUCAUCAUCUCUCCUCCCAGCUCUCCAAUCAUACCGGGAUAUUGUUUCAUCGGAUCUCCUAAAUGUGCUAUGAAUCACUCUAAACCUUUGGUUAUGACCUACAAGAUGAAGAAACAUUGUUACUUGCUCUUUCAAAAGAUGUGUGGAUACUAUCUAUUAGCAAUUGCCUCUCCCUAAAUGUCUUCACAAGCUUGGAAAAGGGCUACUUAUUCGAAGCAUGUUCAGAAACUCUACAUCAUUACGGUUGUAGAUGUAGUUCUCAUGUAGCUCGGAUUAGUCAUCCUCUCUCUAUCUCGGGAAGCAUUGGAGCAUAUAUGUCCACACUCAUGGAAUUGCGAAGAACCGCACUCUUGUGGACUAACAUGAACCAGUCCUAAAUCAUAGCUACGAGUGUUAAUAACUGAAAGCUUCAUUCAUUCGUCACAGUGAAAUCGAUGUUGUGGUAAGUAACGAUGGAAUCAAACCUACACCUUACCUAACAACCUAGCAGUGCAGGGAUGGGGUGGUUGUAUGUUGCUUACCUCCAUGGGAGACAAUGACGACAACCUGCUUGUGCCGGAGAUGAGGCGAACGAGACGGAGAUGGAGACGAAGGGGAGGAGCAGUUAACGAAGGUGAGAAGCAUGUUCCGGUGCCGGAGAUCUUUGUCCAUGCCGCUGUCGGCACCGCAGAUCUAAAUCGCCGGCACGAACAGUGCCAAAAACCGUGGUUGGAUUUGACCUCCUGCUGGAAGUGAACAACUAGAAGGGGGCUGAGACUAGAUUUCAAGCCAGCAGAUUUUCAUAUCUCGCCAUCUCCACGCCCGCUCCCUACAUAAGCUGGCCCCCGCCUUGCAAUCGCGUUAGCCUGGCUCCAUGAAAAAUCGCAAAUCCAAGUGUUUUCCUUGAACCAAGAUAUACAUUGCUUGGAGUAUCGUGCGAGCACGGGCCAACACCUCACAUGAGUAACCAAACAGGCUUUUUGCACUCACUUUGCUUGUGUUGGAGUUGGUGCGAGCAACCAAAUGGCUAUGUGAAGAUCUCUUAUAAUAAUUUAGGAAGAAGUAGAUGCCAACUACAACUGCGCGUACAUAUAUACACAUCGCCUUGUAAACGCAAGAAAGGUCACAAAUGGUGUAGAGUAAAUGCACCGAUGCACAUAGUAGAAUGACAUACUCAACAAGCAAUGUGUACUAAUAAGAUCUAUUUUGGCCAUGAACGAUGAACAAUGUUAAUCAUCAGCUAUCAAGGAACUUGGAAUGGAGCUCUGCCUCUUCCUUAUAUAGGUACAGUAAACAUAGAAAAAUGUGUCUUUGUGAUUUUGAGUAAAAUGUCUUAAUACGUGCAAUCAGUCUAGAAUAUGUAAAACCAAAACAAUUGCAAUGAUCACUAUAGCCUUAAAAUAUGUGACAAAGCAUAUGAACAUCUCCAUCUCACUUCAUGGACAUCACAAUCUACUAUUAAUUGUGUCCACAUUGGCACAAUUACCGAACAAACACCAAAGAGAUUUGUGGAGGAGCUGAAUAAAGUAAAAGAUCUAUGAGAUCUUCAUGCUGUCAUGCGGCUCAUAUCCCACCAGCCUUCAGUUCCCGGCUCAAGAUUUUACUUUAUAUGGUAUACUAUUCAAUAACAUUGCAUGAUAAAUAAAUAAAACCACAGAAACAUGUACUCUACUUUAAUUCAAAAGAUUAAUUAAGACAUGUCAGCGAGCCAUCAUGCAAAACUAUCAUCAUAUCAUGUCUUAGACAAUAGAAACCACUCGCUGUGGGCAUAUGCCAUCACCAUUUUCUCAUCAAUGUCACAUCUUUUGAGAGACCAAUUUAGAAACUAGAUCAAAAGAAGUAGUGCAAAUUGUAGAGUUCAAAUGGAAAGACUAAGCUAUUGGCUACAAAUAAAUUUUGAAGGCAAUUAAACCAAAAAUCACAAAGUUAAUGUUGCAAGAAAAUUGAGAUUCAUUACAACAUAAUUCAUUCGCCUGCUUGGACAUGCCAACAACACAUGGAACUGUCAAGCUUACUAGAAAAAAACCAACAAUAUUGUGAGUGACAUGAUUCAUCAAAAGACACUUGUCGCCUCCAAGUUAGUCAUCUUUCUUGUUGAUGAGAGUGGCCCAUACCUUUAAGACUACUCGAUCGUACAUUGUCAAUGCGCCACAUCACAAGGUCUCAGCCAUUCUGUAAGUAUUAAUGUGUCAGUGUGAUUUCAAAAAGGGGAUGCCACGAUAAAUCUUCAAUUAAGUAGACAUAGCAUAAUUGGGUGUAACAUUCGAGGAUCCAUGUUAUAGGAAGUUUGCUUGAGCACAUAUGAAAUAUAUUGCUGGAAGUUUGCUUGAGCACAUAUGAAAUAUAUUGCUGGAAGUUUGCUUGAGCACAUAUGAAAUAUAUUGCUGGAAGUUUGCUCGAGCACAUAUGAAUAUAUAACUUUCUAUGUGAUCAUCACUAAUAUGAUUAAACAUUAAGUAAUAUAUUAGUAUUUAUAUAAGAAUGGAUCCAAAUAAAAAAAGAAAGGACAUAUAGAUGUACCCGGUGGAUUGUAGAAACUCAUGUAUGGGAUCAAAUAACGAAAUUUCUCUCUCUUUCAUAGCUUCUUCCAUUGUAGUGUCUUGAUAUUAACCUCAUAGAUGCCAAGCUCCGCAGUUAUGAAAAUGAUAUCACUGGCCUCCACAGAUCCAACCAGUCUGAGUCUUUUGUUGGUAUUUUGAAAAGGGAGAAGGUUUAUGAGUUCGACGACUCUACGCAUAGUCCAUGACGCUUUUCCAUUAGCAUCCAAUUGUCUUGACCAUAUGUUGAGGGUUACCUUGUCCACAUGCGCAAACCCCAAACUACCAUCCUCCAUCGCCAUGAGGAUAGUGGAACCGCUAAUGAUAGCCCCGGACAAUGGCGUAUCAAUCAACGAUAAGCAAUUAGAGCUCAAGUCAUACUUCAGAAUUUCUACACUAUCAUCAUCAUCAUGUGUAAGCAUGAAGUGAAGUGCAUUUUCAACAAGGAUGGAGGGCAUUGAGUCGAUGAAUGCAUCAGGUGCAAGUUGUAGACUAGAGGACAUAUCGCUCCACUCAACAUCAGAGCAUGACUUGCUCCAGUCACCUGUCACCGGCGAGGACACACGUGCAUGUGCAACACAAUUGUCAUCAUCUGUCAAGUCAAGGCCCAAGAAUACUACCUGGAAGGGCCCUGCAUGACACGCGCGAUGGUCACAAUCGCUCGCUGCACAAAGCAGUGCAGUGGCCCCAUCGACGUAGCCCAUCGACGUGGGCACCUUUAACUUUCUUUGGCGACCCGUCAUGGGGUCCCAAACAACAAGGUGCGUUGGCGUCCAAUUAUCCCGAAGGAGAACGCGACCAUGACGGCAGUCCCACGCAGGGUAUUUAUAGUUACCCCCGCGGUUGUCGGGAAUGUUUGCACCGAAUUUUAUGGUGGAGAUGAAGCGCGGCGAGGGGGCUUUCCUCGGGAGAAAGUCGAGGGGCCAGGAAUAAAUGAACCCCAACAUGGGGGAAGAUCCAUGGAACUUACGAUAGCGACCACGAAAGGCAUGGCAGGAGAGAAUGCCGAGCCAUCGCUUGUUGGCAACGGAGGCACGCGGGCUCAUUCGGCGGCAGGCGAAAGAAGAUCUCCUCGAGUAGCUCGUCGGGCAGCAAUUCUAUGGGCGGCGGCGGCGGCAUGGUUGGUGGAGGCGAGGGUUUCGGGUGGAGGGGGAGGAGGUUUGAGGGUAGGUUUUUAUAUUGAUUUUGGAAGGUUAGUGUUUCUUGCCAAGAUUGACCAUCCUAUGGGCCACCGAAAGCUCAAGGCCAAGCUUGGGUUAAAAUCAAGACACGUGGGGUCCAUGGCAGGCUACCCGUGCCUGGAGGUAGGCCUGCUGCGAGGCUUCCCACAAAGACGCCAACCCGGUGUAUUACGGAGUGGGUCCAAUUAAAUAAUGUUUUUUGUCUCACUAAGAAAUUAGAUCAAACUACUAAUCUCGCGGAUGCUACAAACCAUACCUGGCCAUCUGUCGGGCCGGGCCUACCAAAGCCUGAUGCAAAAAACCCAAGCCCGAGUCCGGCCCAGCCAUCGGGCCUAAAAAUCAGGCCCAAACCCAACCCAUCAUGCUAAAAGCCCGCCGGACCUCAGGCCGGGCCUCUUCGUUAACGUGCGAAUACGAUGGGCCCAAGCCCGACCCGGCCCAGCCGCCGGGCUUAAAAUCUAGGCCCGAGCCCGGCCCGUGGACAAGAUCGGGCCGGUCUGCCCAUGGCCAGGUAAACAAAGUGAGUACAGCUGCCUACGCCGGCUGUAGAUGCGUGGCGUGUACCAUAGCUGGCCAAACGGGCCGGCCUGGCCCGGCACGGCACGGCCCAUCCUAAUCGUGCCUGGCACGGCCCGGCCCGCCUAGGCACGAUUAUUAUACGGGCCGUGCCGUGCCAGCCCGCGUGCUGCAGCCUGCAGCCCAGGCACGGCCCGUAUGCUAAUCGGGCCGGCCCACCGGCACGUCAGGCCCACUAAUCUACCUCCUAUUUUGCGCACUGAGCGUUUUUAGCCUAUUUUUACCUGUUGGCCCAUAUUAGGAUACAUAAAAAAUAUAAAAAAGUUAAUCGGGCCGUGCCGUGCCGGCCCGCGUGCUCGCCCUUUAGGCCCAGGCACGGCCCAUGGCGUGCCGCGUGCCGGGCCCGGCCCAUUUAGCACGUGUCGUGCCGUGCCAGGCCUGUGCCGUGCCGGCCGUGCUACCGGGCCGGCCCAACUAUCCCGGCCCGUUUGGCCAGCUAUAGCGUGUACGAGUACGGUGACGACUUGCCGAGACGGAGGCGGCCCACCCACCACGACGCUGACACUAGUUAUCUCUCCCCUUUCCCCUUCCCCUUUCCCUGUCUCCGCUCUGCUCCACUCCACAGUCCACCACACCCGCCCAGCCGCAGCCGGAAAAGAGCACGGCGAGAUGAGCUCCGGGACGGGGAAGGUGGUGUGCGUCACCGGCGCCUCGGGCUACAUCGCCUCCUGGCUCGUCAAGUUCCUCCUCCAGCGCGGCUACACCGUCCGCGCCACCGUCAGGGACACCGGUCAGUACUCAGGACCCCACCCCCUUCCAUCCCAUCCCCUUCCUUUUCCGCCUGCUCUAGCUGGCGGAUCCAUGGUUAUCGGUUGGUUAUCGGUCCCCGCCGCACCGAGGGAUUCAUGGAUUUGUUCAUGGUUAUCGUGGCUGGGAGACUAGGUUUUGUUCAGGAUGUCAGAUUGAAACUAAUAAUCCAAGAAAGAAGAAGAAGAAGCUGACUGAAUUUGUUAGCAUGCUGUGAGUGAGUGAGUGAGUGAGUGAGUGGCAUGCAGUGCUUGGAAGUCAACGCCAUCUCCCUGCUGCAACUUUUAUAUUAUAGUACGUAUUAUAAAUCUAAGUCUAGAAUAGUCAAUUUUUUUCAUUAUAAAUCUUUUACAUUGUUCGAGUUCAAAAUUAACAUAAAUUCUGCCUCUGUUCACUCACUCCCUUGUAUACUACUCCCUCCGUUCCUAAAUACUUGUCUUUCUAGAGAUUUCAACAAGUGACUACAUACGGAACAAAAUGAGUGAAUCUACACUCUAAAAUAUGUCUAUAUACAUUCGUAUGUGUAGUCCAUUUGAAAUCUCUAGAAAGACAAAUAUUUAGGAACGGAGGGAGUACUGAAUUAGUUAGCAAUAAGAGCAUGCUGUGACUCCCUCCCUUAACAUAAUUCUGGCUCCCUAGUACAACUAUAUAUCCAAGUCUAAAUACAGAGUCAAGUGGCAGCCAUUAAAAACUACACAAGUGAUAGUGUGGCUAGCGUGUUCCUGUGACAGUCAAUUUUUUCGUUACAAAUCUUUUAGAUUAGAUUGUUGGAGUUCAAAAUCAGCAUAAAUUGACACUUGGAAUGUUUCCUUUUUAAUAUAACAUGCAUGUGCGGUGCUAACUGAACUGACGGUUCCUUCUUCCAGCCGACCCAAAGAAAACAUUGCACCUGCAGGCCCUGGAUGGAGCCAAGGACAGGCUGCACUUGUUCAAAGCAAGCUUGUUGGAAGAAGGCUCUUUCGAUGAUGCCGUUGCCGGCUGCGAUUGUGUCUUCCACACGGCCUCUCCCUUUUAUCACAAUGUCAAGGAUCCCAAGGUUAGCAUCAUGAGACUGAUGACUACAUAAUGUUCAUCAGGAAGGAGCACCUUGUUGGAGAUGGGCCAAAUAUUGCGCUCAAUACUUGACCUAGCAGCUGAGUUACACUACAUCAUGAGACUGAUAACUUUUGUUUUGUAUAUGUAUGUGUGUCUUUCAGGCUGAGUUACUUGACCCAGCAGUCAAUGGAACGCUCAAUGUUCUCCGUUCUUGCAAGAAGGCCUCUAUCAAGAGAGUGAUCGUAACGUCAUCCAUGGCUGCUGUUGCCUACAAUGGGAAACCAAGAACUCCUGAUGUAGUAGUUGACGAGACAUGGUUUUCAAGUGCAGAGGUCUGCGAAAAGAAUAAGGUAAUAUGCCUUUCUGUGCUCAUAGACCUCUGCUUGUUUUUCACAUAUGGAGUGGCAAUCACGUUAAUAAAAUAUACUAUCUGCCUUUGAUUGCUCUAUAUGUCUUUCACUCCGUCCGCACUGAAAUGCCCUUAUUUUGUCUACUUGAUGAUUUGCAUACCACCAAUUCUGCAAAUGCACCUCUACUGAAAUAGAAUUUUCUUAGGAUAAGAGGGUGAUACCAUUGUUAUUGAAGACCUUGGUUGUGUGUUUUCACACAAGGAUGUAGGUUGAGUCCAAUGAUACACAAUCAAUAAUCCACAACAAAAAAGUUUAAGAAUAGGAAAGUAACUGUCAAUUAUAGAUGGUCAGUCUAUAAUUUGUGUCAUACUAUACUAUACUUGGUUAGUAUAAUUGAUCUUAUUCCAUCUUUAUUUGUGUCAUACUAUACUAUACUUGGUUAGUGUUCAGGAAAAAAAAUUAUACCUGGUUAACUCAGCACUAAUGCCAGUAUGUUAUAGAUGGUCAGUCUCUGCCUGCUGUUACUAAGCAAUUGCCAUAACAACUCUGCAUCUACACACUGGUUAGUCAAGAUUAUGCUGAAUACUACCUCAUCGAUGCUGAAGCGACAUACAAUGCCAUAUAACUGACAUCUGGACUUGUAAUCAUAAGUACAUCACUACUAUUACUGUAUAACUGGCGCAUGGACUUGUCAUUAUAAGUACAUCGUUCUUCAGUGGGGAUAUGCAUUUGGUUCCUCAUACUGACUAUAAGCUGCCAUAAUUUCUGCUUUAACAGGGUUCUUUCGAUAUUUGUUUCCUAACUUAAAAAUUAGAUUGCUUUAUUUAAUUUUGUAUGCAAAUCUCAAAACUUUACUUCCACAUCCUUCUGUAUUUGAAUUUUAAAUCCAUGGUUGACUGUACAUCAUUUAUGUUCUCAUCUUGUUAUCCUGAAUGUUCGUCUGCUUCAGCAAUGGUAUGUGCUAUCCAAGACCCUUGCCGAGGAGGCUGCAUGGAAGUACGCAGAUGAUAAUGGAUUAGAAAUAAUUACAAUAAACCCAACAAUGGUCAUCGGUCCCCUGUUGCAGCCUACACUGAACACUAGUACAGAAGCAAUAUUGAAGUUUAUAAAUGGUAUGUCGGUAUGUGCCUUGAUAAUUAACUUUUUAUAGGUUAACUCUAUGCAUGUAAGGUAGAGCUCCGUUAUGCCCUACACCCAUUUUGUAUUUGUCAUUUGUUUGAGAGAAUACCCAAGCUCAAGAUAUUGCAAUUUCUAUUAGCCAUUAGCAAAAUUUCUGCAAACAAGCUCAAGAUAUUUCAAGGGAUGUUGAAUUUAUGUUUCUUUCAUUUCCUUUUUUUUGUGUGUGUUUUUUGGGUACUGGCAAAAGCACUGUGAGAUAUUGCCAUAUUGGAAUGAUUCUACUUUUCAUUGUUUGUCUAGCUAAUAGUUUAUGCAUCCUACCGCAAGUUACAUGUACAGUGAAUGUUAUGAAUCUUGUGAGAAAUAUCAAUAAGAGGAUUGUUUUCAAUUGGACAUUUGAAUGUGGGUCUGCCUAUGGUACCUUUGCGUUUCUCUCUGGCUUUGCGUUCAUUUAUUUGGACGCUUGAGCUUCAGAGCCAUGCAUAUAUUCUCAUCUAGCAGAGAGGAUGUUUAGCGACCAAUGGAAAACAUGAACAGAAUAGUUACCUGUCUAAAAAAAGGGUUAAAGUCACAGUAGUUGUGCUAAAAGAAGUCUACUCUAACAGGACAUUACUGUUUGACUCUUGACAAGAAAUCCUUGGUAUUUUCAUGCAGGAUCAUCUUCUACAUACGCCAAUUUCUGCUUUGGAUGGAUAAACGUUAAAGAUGUUGCCCUGGCACAUAUCCUUGCAUAUGAAGUUCCUUCAGCAAACGGAAGAUAUUGUAUGGUUGAAAGAGUCAUUCACCACUCGGACCUUGUCAAGAUCAUACACGAGAUGUAUCCUGAAUUUCCAGUGCCAGACAAGUAAGUUAGCAUUCAAUGAAUCCCUUGGAAUUGAAUCGAGAACAGUAUACUGUUGGAUAUUAUUAGUUGCUUGUUUCUUGUUGAGGCUUGAGGGACAUAAUAGAUGUUUUCCAAUCAUGCAUUUCUCAACAUUGUAGAGAGCGCUUAAUCUGUUCCUUUGCACCAUAUGGCGACGGGACCCCUGAAGUUAGUUUUUUUCCUUUCUUGUGUGCAGGUGUGCAGAUGAUGCGCCGUUUGCCACAAUCUACCAGGUAUCAAAGAACAAGAUAAGAAGUCUGGGCAUGGAGCUGACCCCCCUGGAGACGAGCCUCAAGGAGACUAUCGAGAGCUUGAGAGAGAAAGGAUUUGUCACUUCUGAGUCGAGCCAUCUGUGAAACUUUGUUUGCUUUGGCAUCGCUAGUGGCAGACGCUGGAUGCACACAUGUUUAUGUGCACCUGAAAUAAAUCGAGGCAUAGUGUAUUCUUGAGACAUGUAUUUGCGGAUCUGCUGUGUUUCAAUGGAUUCAAGUUCCGAGACAUGUAUAACCAGUACACAUGAAUGUAUGAUGAAUGCUUCUAGAAAGAUUAUCCAUCCUGUAUUGUUUCCCGACGCCUUUUGGAACGCAUGAAUACAGACACAGAUAGAAGGAAAUAACAAGAGACACAGACACAGAUAGAAGGAAAUAACAAGGGACGGUAUCUUUUGUCGUAAACCAAACAUACCUGAUAACGCAUGAUGUGGUUGGAUGGAAAUUUCACAGAACAAUGUGCUCCGAUCUAUGAGGGUGCUGUGAAAGAUAGAACAGUACUGGCCCUAGUGGAGGUUCAGUUGGAAUUUCUGAGUUGAGAGAACAGCUACUAGUAUGUUGAAUCGAUAAAAUAUAACCAGCAACAACAACGAUCAUUUGCCGUUUACAGAUCUUCAGGCUUGAGAGAUAGUUGCGUGCAGGUAGAGGGAGGCACAUCUGAAUACUGCAAUUGUGGGCCUGAGAAGAGGUUGAGCAGGUUACAGGUGAAACUCUGUUCUAGCCAAUGUUUGUUGUCGCACAACAUGUUUCAUCUCUUUACAUGGCUAAAGAUGCACAACGAAUAACGAACACACACCUAACAGUUUUUUGGAGUUUUUUUUUUGCGGGGUAGUUUUCUGGAGCUAUUGAAGCAGUUAAAAUCUCUAUGAGAUCUUCAUAGUCAUGCAGCCCCAUAUUCUAUAGUUCACUAAACUUAUAGCUCGAGAUCCAGUUAGCAUGCUAUACUCUUCAGCAACAUUGCUUGCUAAAUGCACCAGCACUUGGCAGGUAGCACUAAUUAAAUCCAUCAGAUUAUUCAUUUAGAAAAAAACCAGCAAGCCAGGGUGUAAAAAGGUUCAUCAUGCCAUCUCUUGGGAAGCAGAAACCACCAUCUCUCUGGACAUGGUCUCAUGAUUUUCUCACCAACAGUACAUCUUUUCAAAGAUGAAUUUAAAGAUUGGAUCAAAGCAGGGAGAGAGCAAACUGUAGAGUUUUUAAAAUGGUAAUACCAAGUUACUGCCUGCAAAUGCUUUUUCAAGUAAAUUCUACAACAGGGUACAUCAAAUUAGAGGUUCAUUACAAAGAUAAUCAAUUCACUCGGCCACUAACACAGGAGAUUAUCAAGCUAACUGACAGAAGCUAUCAACAACAUGAGAAAACAAGCAAGCACCGCUGCACCAAAAGGGCUACUGAAUGAUGACAUAAUUCAUCAGGACUUCGCGAGACCCCUGUUCCCUCCAAGUUUGUCACCUAUCUUGUUGAUGAGUGUAGCCUCGUACAUAUUCAACCACACAUUCUUAAUGCGGCGCGUCACUGGGGGUCACCCUUUCUGCAAACAUAGGUUUGUCAGUAUGAUUCUAGAAGGGGGAUUACGUGAUACUGUAUAAAUUGCAAAUUAAGCAUAAUUAGUUGUAACCACACCGCACUCAAAGUUUGUUCGCACCCAUUUCAAACAUAGCUUUCAAUCCGACUAGGCAUUCAAUGUUUUGUUUAUUCCACUAACUUGUAUGGAGUAUUAUUUAGGAGUUGUUCCCACAUCACAAAAGAAAGGACAUAUAGAUACAAACAUACCUUGUGAAUUGUAGAAACUCAUGUAUGGGAUGAAAACUUGAAACUUUUCUCCCUCCCAUACUUUCUUCCACUGUAGUGACUUCAGAUUAAUCUUGUAGAUGCCAAGAUCCGUGGUCAUGAAAAUGAUAUCAGUGCCUUCCAUAGAUCCAAUCAGCCUAAGUCGUUUCUUUGGGUUUCGAAUGGGAAGGAUGUCGUUGAUAUUGAUGACUGUACGUUGAGUCCAUGAUGCAACUCCGUCAGAACCCAUGUGCCUUGACCACAGAUUGAGGAUUAACCCACCCACAUGUGCAAACCCCAAACUGUCAUCCUCCAUCGCCAUGAGGAUAACAUCAUCAGCAAUGACAGGCCCCACAAGCGGCAUAUCAAUCAGUGAUAAGCAAUUAGUGCUCAUGUCGUACUUGAGAAUUCCUACUAGGCGAUCAUCGACGCAGCUACGAAGCUUGAAGUGAAGUGUGUCUUGGACGAAGACAGGAGGCACUUUGUGGAUGCACACAUCAGAGUCAAGAUGAAGGCCGGAGCAUGGAUUGCUCCACUUAUCAAAAUGAGAACGGUAUAUGCUCAACAAAAUGGGGUUGCUGUGGUCACCUGUCACCGGCAAGGUCACCCACGCCUGUGCAACACAAUCAUGAGCAUCAGUCUUGUUCAGAGCGAUGAAGACGACCUGGAAGGGCCCUGCGUGGCACGUACUAUGGUCACAGCCGCUUGCAACGCAGAGCACCGCUGCCCCAUAGCUCUUGUCCACCAGGACGGGCGCAUCCAGCUCCCUCCGGCAGCCCGUCAUGGGGUCCCAAACGGUGAGCGUCAUGGGUUUAUAGCCCGCAUCGCCAAGGAGAACACGACCAUGGCGGCAGUCCCACGCAUCAUAUUCCCAGUCCCCCCAGUCAUCGUCGGGAAUGCACGCACGAAAUUUCGUGGUGGGGACAAAGUGUGGGAUAUUAUCUUCAAUCUUCGGGUGGGAGUUCCAGUGGCAGGAAUAAAGGAAGCCCAGCAUGGGGGGAGCUCCAUGGAACUCACGGUAGCGGCCGCGAAAGCGAGCGCCGGAGAGGAGGCCAAGCCAGAACUUGUUGGCGAGGGAGGCGCGCACGAGAUGCUCAGCCUCGUCCGGCGGCAGGCGGAGGAAGAUCUCCUCCAGAAGCUCGUCCGGCAGCGCCGAUACGAGUGGCGGCAUGGAGGGUUGAGGCGGCAAGGGUUUCUGGUGGGGAAUUUUUUUCCCUUAAAAAAAGGGUGGCGGCGGCGGAAGGGAGGAGAUCUGGAGAUAAUUCCUUAUUUGACUUCUUUCUUAGUUUCCUUUUUUGCCCUAAAAAAUUUCUUCCGCUUUUGACACUCAAACUUUAUUUUAUUCUCUUUAUAUCCUUUCCAUCAUUUUUAACCAUGAACACCCUUUUUUUAAGGGAAAAAACAAACACCCUUAUGUCCGACAUGAAAAGUCCUUUCUACCCCGCGUUAGCCCGCUGAAAAAGUAGAAGUGCGUGUGAUGUGGCCUCAUACCUUCCCUCCUGAUUCUCCACCCGAACCCCAACUCUAUGACGACGGCAGCAGCGGCAGCACGAGACACAUAGGGGCCGCGGCGGCUGUAUGGGGGAUGACCAAAACUUUGAGGAAUAUCAAAAUUGUUGUACAUGACUGAAACACAUAGUAGCUAGCGGCCGGAGCUUGUGAGCACGAUGAUUCAGACUAUUGCAGCACGAUGGAUUUUUAAGUGUUGAACUCACCAUCGAUACUAAUAUGAUCUCAACUAGUACUGCUGCAGAUCACUUCUGGAUUAAUAUAAAAAGCAAAAUUUAAGUGCAGCUCGUGUCCACCAGAAGUAAUUAAGGAAACCACCAGUGCCGGUUGUUUAAAAAUGAAUAAAAGGACAGACCAAUGCAUAGAAGCUCCCACACAAGAUGGGGGUUAGGGAGGGAUUAUAGGAACUUAUUCUUACCCCUGCAACAUGCAAUGCAGAGAGGUGACAUGUUUAUAGAUACAAUGAUUUUCUUUGCCCUUCACCUAUGCUUGUUAUGUUGACAUGGUAAUCCAGUAGUGUGGUGAAGCUCCCCGCAUUAUGAACAAUGUCAAAUUAUGCUAUUGAUAUUUUAAACUUACUCUUCAUUUUCUAAUUUGAAAUUGGAUGGACUUGACAACACAAUUAUCAUCUUUGUUUAUACACGUGCAAAACCUGUCAUUUCUCUGCUUUGUUUCAGGGUGAUAUGCCUGAUGGCAUGCACAAGUCUGCUGAAGGUUGUGAGACGAACCCAACAUAUAUUGCAGCAAAGAAGGCAAAACAUCUUGAAGAUAGCGAGACAACCCAAAAGUCUUGUCUUGAUGCAGUGUUCAAGUUACUUGAGACUAGCAAUCAGACAAGCUCACAGAAUUUGUUGUCUGAAUCAGUUCGACUUCUUCAGUCCCAAGUUCUAGCAGAAAGGCAUUCCGUAACUCAACUUCGACUUGAAGUCCUAUCUCUAAGAAAGAUUGCGGAGAACACCAAUGAGAACCCUCAUCGCUAAACAGCUACACCUGGAAGCUAUGACCGACAUGCUAGGCCGGUCUCACAGCCUUACUCAGCAGCUUGGGCAGCAGUUCCUGCGCAAGGCUAACCUUUCUUGAACUGUCUUGGAAGUGGUCUCCGUUCAGUAUUAUUUUGUUACGCUGCAACAAUGCCCAGUUUUUGUAAUCUGCUUCUUCGUUGCGCUUUAUGAUCACUGGUGGCGAACUUCGAUGCCCAGUGAAUGUAAUAUUGUUGGGGAACAUUGCAGAAAAUUAAAAAAAUUUCCUACGGUUUCACCAAGAUCCAUCUAUGAGUUCAUCUAAGCAACGAGUCAUAGGAGAGAGAUUGCAUCUACAUACCACUUGUAGAUCGCGUGCGGAAGCGUUCAAGAGAACGGUGAUGAUGGAGUCGUACUCGCCGUGAUCCAAAUCACCGAUGACCAAGUGCCGAACGGACAGCACCUCCGCGUUCAACACACGUACGGAGCGGAUGACGUCUCUUCCUUCUUGAUCCAGCAAGGGGGAAUGAGAGGUUGAUGAAGAUCCAGCAGCACAACGGCGUGGUGGUGGAUACAGCAGGACUCCGGCAGGGCUUCGCCAAGCUGCUGCGGGAGGAGGAAGAGGUGUAGCAGGGGGAGGGAGGCGCCAAGACACAGGGUGCGGCUGCUCUCCCUCCCCCCUCCUUUAUAUAGGCCCCCAGGGGGGCGCCGGCCCUGGGAGAUCUAAUCUCCCAAGGGGGGUGGCGACCAGGAGGGGUGGAGAGGCAAGUGGGGCGCGCCCCCCACCUAGGGUUUCCAACCCUAGGCGCAGGGGGCGGCCGGGGGGGGGGGGGCGCACCAGCCCACUAGGGGCUAGUUCCUCUCCCACUUCAGCCCACGGGGCCCAACGGGAUAGGUGGCCCCACCCGGUGGACCCCCGGGACCCUUCCGGUGGUCCCGGUACAAUAUCGGGUGACCCCGAAACUUUCCCGAUGGCCGAAACAGCACUUCCUAUAUAUAAUUCUUUACCUCCGGACCAUUCCCGAACUCCUAGUGACGUCCGGGAUCUCAUCCGGGACUCCGAACAACAUUCGGUUUGCUGCAUACUCAUAUUCAUACAACCCUAGCGUCACCGAACCUUAAGUGUAUAGACCUUACGGGUUCGGGAGACAUGCAGACAUGACCGAGACGGCUCUCCGGUCAAUAACCAACAGCGGGAUCUGGAUACCCAUGUUGGCUCCCACAUACUCCUCGAUGAUCUCAUCGGAUGAACCACGAUGUCGAGGAUUCAAGCAACCCCGUAUACUAUUCCCUUUGUCAGACGGUAUGUUACUUGCCCGAGAUUCGAUCGUCGGUAUCCCAAUACCUCGUUCAAUCUCGUUACCGGCAAGUCACUUUACUCGUACCGUAGUGCAUGAUCCCGUGACCAGACACUUGGUCACUUUGAGCUCAUAAUGAUGAUGCACUACCGAGUGGGCCCAGUGAUACCUAUCCGUUAUACGGAGUGACAAAUCCCAGUCUCGAUCCGUGUCAACCCAACAGACACUUUCGGAGAUACCUGUAGUGCACCUUUAUAGUCACCCAGUUACGUUGUGACGUUUGGUACACCCAAAGCACUCCUACGGUAUCCGGGAGUUACACGAUCUCAUGGUCUAAGGAAGAGAUACUUGACAUAGGAAAAGCUCUAGCAAAACGAACUACACGAUCUUGUGCUAUGCUUAGGAUUGGGUCUUGUCCAUCACAUCAUUCUCCCAAUGAUGUGAUCCCGUUAUCAACGACAUCUAAUGUCCAUAGUCAGGAAACCAUGACUAUCUGUUGAUCAACGAGCUAGUCAACUAGAGGCUCACUAGGGACAUGUUGUGGUCUAAGUAUUCACACGUGUAUUACGAUUUCCCGGAUAAUACAAUUAUAGCGUGAAUAAAAGACAAUUAUCAUGAACAAGGAAAUAUAAUAAUAAUCCUUUUAUUAUUGCCUCUAGGGCAUAUUUCCAACAAAUAUAUCAUAAAUUAUUUAUUGUAUAGUGUAGGUUUAUUUUUAGUUACUAUGCCAUAAUCUCUUAUUAUAUACAGUAGGUUUGUUCUUAAUUCCUACUAGUUACUGUCAUCAUUCACUAUCUGAAAAAAAAUCUAAUGUAGUCGAUCGGGCCGAAACAUUCGCCUCUAACGGGCCUGGUUUUUAGCGGGCCACAAUUGGGUCGGCCUGCAUCUUUCUUGGGCCCGAAUGAUUGGGGCCUUCACACUUUGCGCCAGGCCCACAACUUACUCCGGCCUAUAUUUUAGUUGAGCCUUUUGUGGACCCAUCGCUUAGUUUGGCCCAGGUAGCGUUGGGCCAUUAACAGGCUGAAUAUUCUACUGUCCUGUUACGGCCCAGACGAAACCAUGGGCCUUUAGCAGGCCGAAAUGCAUGUUGGGCCUCAAUUUUCACUAGUCGUCGACGGGUCUUCAAUAGGCUGAAAUAUAGACCAGGCCUUUUUGGGCCCAGUUAUAUCACGGGCCGUUACCAGGCCGAAACAUAUCUCGGGCCUUAGUUGGCCCACUGAUAUCAUGGGCCUUUAAGAGGCCGAAAGCUUAGUACAUGCAUGAACGAGCCGAAUUAUACGAAAGUCCUUUAACAGGCCCAAAGUCACGUUGGGCUUAACUGUUGCCACCUUUAUCACGAGUCGUUAGUGGGCCCGAUGCCCCGUCGGACCACAUAUGACCCAUGGGUAGCACGGGCCAUUCCCAGGGCGGAAGUCACACCGGGCUGAAAUGGGCCCAUGUCUACAUCGGGCCUCUAACAAGCCGAAAGUCACUGGGCUGUAAUUGGGCUCAAAUAUUCGGCGAACAAUUAACGGGUCAGAUCUGGCUUUGGACCGUAAAUGGGCCUUUAUUAAACAAGUCAUUAUUGGGCUGGCCCACUAGUACCUGAGUAAGUAUUACGGGCCUUUGACUGGGCCGGCCUUUUUAACCUAUAUGGGUCUCUGUUGGGCCCCGUCACGUGUCGACGUAUCAUAGGCAUGUCUCCUCCAAUGGACAGGCGACAUCUGACCCACUGACGAGCUAACACGUGUUUCCUCGGACCAAUCAGAAUUUUACAUGUGGAAAUUUCCCAUUGGUCCGGACUGUUAACGGGUUAUCGGAUCCAAAACCGUACCCGAUAGCUUAACGGCGUUCCGUUACGGUGGAUGCCACGUGUCGGUCACCCUUGACGAAAACACUUCUGUAACGCACGAUUUAUCGUCAUGGAAGUGAACACUUCCGUGAUGAUAAUUUUGAUAAUGUCAUGGAAAACUUCUACGACAGCACAGAUAUGACUAUCUUGAUUCUGUCAUAAAAUCGUUAGGGAUGUACAUGCAUAACAAAAAACGCGACCUACUGUGACAAACAUGUAUCAUCGCGUAAGUGUAUUUUUUUUUAUAGUAGGAUGACCAAAACUCUGAGGAAUAUAAAAAUUGUUGUACAUGACUGAAACACAUAGUAGCUAGCGGCCGGAGCUUGUGAGCACGAUGAUUCAGACUAUUGCAGCACGAUGCAAUUUUAAGUGUUGAACUCCCCAUCGAUUCUAAUAUGAUCUCAACUACUACUGUUGCAGAUCACUUUUGGCCCCUUCUCCCUCUGGAUUAAUCAAAAGCAAAAUUUAAGUGCAGCUCGUGUCCACCGGAAGUAAAUAAGGAAACCACCAGGAUGCCUCACCCGGUGACGACGGCCACCACCAAUUUUUCACUGUAAUCGUCUCCCACUUCGUAUGCUCACUCCCGAACAGCAGGCGGUCAUGACGGGGCGAUGGGAUCCCAACUGAUUUGACCGAUGCUUCUUCAUUUUCCGAUGUGAUGCAGCGUGGAGCCGUGUAGCGAGCCAAUCCCUGAGGUUCGUGGCGCCAGAGUACGCGGGAGAUCAUUUGUAUCCCUGGUUUUGAAAUAUUGAUUGUUACUUUUUUGAAAUAUUUGUAUCCGUGGUUUUGUCCUCAGUCGUUCUAGUCCUGUGCAAAACAAAAAUUAGAUGUUGAAAAAAGUGCAGAGCACACCCGCAAAUAAAAAAUAAAAAAUGCAGAGCACAGUACGGCACAUGAUUGCCACCCACGCCGGCCGUCCUCGUCGCCAGUCAAGGCCCUUGCCGCUGGCUCCACCCAUGCGACAGCUACACCCCACGGUUGCAGCUCCGUGUGGCGAGGGUUGUACCUCUGGUGGCCAUGGCAGCAGCUCGCCACCGCAGCAACAAAACAAGACGGCGGUUGUAGCCUGCUAGGACGUCUCUGCCGGUGAGAGAGCUUGGGGAGGUUGCGACCUGCGUGAGGAAGGUUGUGGACGAGCAGAGCCGCAGCAGCCGGAGGUGGAAGAAAAGCAACCAUACAUCAUCAUAUAUAUAGGGAGACUGGCCAAAAAGCAAGUUAAACAAUUUAUACUACUUCAACACCCCAUAUUGGUUGUGAAAAAACUCGUCCUUGUACUAUGUAUAUUUUAAAUUCAUCCAUGUAGCAUGUUUACUAGCCAGAGAACUCAGGCUCUGCCAUGAUGAUGAAAAAUAUUACUCCUCCCGAUUUAUAAUAAGUGUCACAGUUUUGAACUAACCCCAUUUCAAAACCGUGACACUUAUUAUGGAUCGGAGGUACUAUUAGAGUAGAAGAGGGCUGAAAGGUCAUGUCACUGUUGAUUAGAAACAUAUGUACCUAGCGUCUAAAACCAAAUGGUGGACCGGGCUCAUACACGUACUAGGCCGCAAAGUGUCCUUUCUAUGGAUCAAUCCAAGGGUCUAGCGGAAACUUCUCCAAAAUGAGCCAGGACAUAAUUUACGGAUAAUAACUGAAGUAAAUACGAUUGCCUCAAAAUAAUUAAAUAUGAUUUCUUAUAGUCUUCCACAAUAUUGCCACAUAGAAAUGUAGUACACAAAUGAUUUCGUACAAGACGAUAAAUCUCAUAAUUUGAUUAAUAUUAUCUAUAGUUAUUGUCGUUGGUUCAACUAAUUGUCACUUACCAAGUAAAUAUCUUGAGUUUGAGUGAAAAAUAUAUAUUAUCUAACUAUACAUUUCUACUCCUAUAAAAAUAACAAGUUGGCAAAAAUGGUGUGUCUGUCAUCCAUCAUUUUCGACCAUCAAAUCUGCAUCGAACACAUGGGAGACAACCCCACUUCAACUUGCAAAUAGACCCUUAUUUUCUACUUCCUGCUCCAUCUAUGCCCACCUCAUCCAACAAGAGGCAUUCGGUCCUUCUAGAAACGGGGAGCAAACAAUGGAACUGAACUGGGCAGGUCGCCACUACCGCUCACACGCUGCCAGCGCCGGACGCUCCGAAUGCCUCUCCCAGCUCAUCUCUAUUGUAGCAGCCCCACCACUCACCACCUCCCCCCUCCUCCAUGUUGUCUCCUCUCCCCCUACCCCAUCUCGUUCGAUGCUGUCGGCAAGUACGCCGCCAGCGCCGUCCGCCCCCAAGUCCGCGAAGCCUCUUUUGCCUCCUUCUUUGAUGCAGCAAACCCUCCGCCCACCACCUCCCCUCCUCCCCCUACCCCAUCCCAUCAACAUUGGCAAGUACGCCCCCGACAUCGUCCGCCCCCAAUUCCACAACAAGCCACCACCAAAAGACCAAGCAUGAGGGAGGUGUCGCAAUAUCUUUAGAGAUUUUAUAGUAUGAGAUGGUAGGUUGCAAAGUGUUUUAUCGCUCCUUCAAAGGAUUUAUCUAUAUAUCCGUUGGUGUGAGGUUAUAUAAUAAAGAGUUGGGAUGAUGAUUUUCUCAACAACACCAACAAGAGAGAGUUGGGAUGAUACUUUGUUUUGCUUUUUCAUUAUCAUAUUAUAGAUGUUGAUCUUGUGAGAGGUCAUGACUACCAUGAUAAGAACAUUCAUCUCACCGACAUUUGCAUUAAUUACUUUUUGGUACUUCUCUUUGUUAUUCCCUCUAUUCAAAACAUUUGGAUAACGUCUACAGCAGGUCUCUUUUUCAUUGACCCUCCUCCUUCACUUGGUAGCUGCACAUCCAAUUUUUCAGGUCACACACCAAUUUUUUUCCUUCUUGUGUGUUAUCGGCAUCUUUUUUUGGGCAGAAACCUGGUUAAUGUAUGUAGUUACUAGAGGUCCAGUACUAAUUUUUGUGUAUGUAUAUGUGCACUCGCCCCUUCUAUAUACACAUAAUUUCAAAGCAUCUCUUACAGUAUAUUUUGUUUCUUUGCUCGGUACAAAAUGUAUUCCAAGUGUUGUUCAUUGUUUUUUGCUUUGUCCAAAUAUACUGCAUACCCUCUACAGACUCAGUUUUUUCCUUUGUUUGAAGAAAACACAGACAGUUAUGUACGCAAUAGUGAUCGUCUGAUGCCCUUAUAAGCAUGGAAAAAAACAGCGCGUUAUAGCGGCGCUAAUAGCGCGCUAUAGCGUUUCUGGAAACUGAACGCUACGCUAUGCAGAUUUCACUUGCUACGGCGCUAUUCGCGCUAAAUACGGCGACUGCACGCUAUAGCGCGUAUCGACGCUAUUUUUUCGACGACGUUUUUUUUCAGACGAAUUUUUCAUCAGCCCACUAUACUUUUGGGCUUUCUGGCCCAGUAACCAAGCAUAUCUUCUACUCCAGCCGAGCGAACCCUAACCAACCUACCAAGCGAGCCCUUCCCAAAUGAACGAGGCGGCGGUGGCAGCAGCGGCCACCGGUGCUUCGCCCGUCUCCUCCAUCCACGGCCGGCCGCCUCUUGCUUAAAUCUGAAUGUAUGAACUCUGAACAGUGCUAUAUGCCUAUAUCUGGACCAUGCUUUGCUAUCUGAACAAUGUUUUAGCCUGGGUUUUAGCUGCUGAAAUCUGUCAUUUGUAUGCUAUAUGCUGAAAUCUGAAUAAUGUUUUGUGAAACGCUAUUUUGCAAAAUAGCGCGCUAUUAGCAUGCUAUUUCGUUUAUAGCAUUUUUUUGAAGGCUGCGCUAUUUCAAAUAGCGCACUAUUUUUUUCCUUGCUUAUAAGUGAGCAGGUAGAUGAAGGAAAAAAAACAAAAAAAAACA
Molecule: long non-coding RNA, 53443 nt
Filed under: Triticum aestivum (bread wheat)
Lineage: Eukaryota; Viridiplantae; Streptophyta; Magnoliopsida; Poales; Poaceae
Description: long non-coding RNA (TAES_LNC008213)
Rfam family: MIR1120/MIR1122 microRNA precursor family (bases 1831-1962)
Source: RNAcentral